UUUUUUUUCUUUUGUAUUGGGUCCCAUGUGUACGUGGGAGAGAUGGGAGAGAGUUUUGUCCUUUUUUCCUUUAUUUGGGUGGGUCCCACGUGUAAGUGACAUAUGUAGCGAGGGUUACAAAUGUUCAAAGAACAGCACAUUGGCGAUCAAAGGCAUUUGACCGAACGGAAAUGACACGGAAGGGUAUUUUCAUAAAGCACUCUAACGGAAGAGGGGCAAAGUUGACCACUAUUUAUUUUAGGGGUAAAGAUGUGGUCGGGUCAAAGUUAGGAGAGAAAAUGGAUAUGUCCCUUUUUACAAGCAUUUGGGAGUGUCGAUUUUGUCUAAUUUUUCAAGAACUAAUAAAAAUUGUCAAUGUUUGCCUUAAAAAGAAAUUUAUUCUUUUGUUUAAUUUACUCAUUUAAGCUUGGAAGCAGAAGAAGGCUUUCGCUCUCCUACAGCCUAUUGUGAGGUACCCACCAACUGGCCACCUUCGUCGGCACCCACCCACUGGCCACCUUCGUCGGCACACCACCCCUUUGUACGAGGGGCGCUAGUGAGUGAAGAAGAUUGCUCGAACCCAAACCACAGAUCGAGUGCUCCAAACGGCUAAUCUCUACUGGAGCGAUCAUGAGAUUUCUAGUGAAGUAGUGAUAUAAGUACAGUAUUAGUGGUUUGCAAGAAAAACAUGGCAUCCUAAGCACUCUGUGACUUGCGGUUUGCCCAGGCUUUCCAAAGCUUCUCGGCCCGUCGUGCCUAUCUAUGAUCAAAGCACCUCCCAAAACCCCAAUCCAGCAUGGAACGUAGUAGCAGAAAAGAACAUUAAACUGAAGUGAGAGAAAACAAGAAGAGCUGUACUGCAUUUGAUCAAUGGAAGGAACAAGAUUAGAGAGUAUGCAAGCGGACACUCACACCACGUUCCACGCUACUACCACGACUCUUAUAAUAGACCAACGCACACAACAUACGGUACGAUGCCAUGACGACGACGACGACGUACGCGCGCUCAGUUGGACCGCAUUUUGUUGAGCUGAUUGAGCGCCGGCUGCAGAAUGUUGUAGAGCACCCAGCCGAGGGCGGGCGCCACCACGAAAAGCAGCAGCAGGCCCCGGUUGUCGUCGGCCGGCGCGACCGCCGCCAGCGCGGCGAGCUCCUGCACGGCGGCGGAGGCCGGCUCCGGCACGGCGGCCAGGCCGGCGGCCGCGGCAGCGCCGAUGCCCAGCCCGGCGACGAGCGCCUUCUCGGACCGCAUCUUGUUGAGCUGGUUCAGCGCCGGCUGGAGGAUGUUGUAGAGCACCCACCCGAGCGCGGGCGCCACCACGAAGAGCAGGAGUAGGCCCCGGUUGUCGUCCGCGGGCGCCGCCGCCGCCACGUCCGCGAUCCGCUGCGACGCCAUCGCCGCGUCCGACGAGGCCAGCGAGGUGAAGAAGGCGCUCGCCAUGGCAGCGGCCGCCGGCGACACGGCCAGGGCUCCCUUCUUGGCCGCGUUCUUCUGCAGGCUGCGCAGCGAGAUGCUCGGCGACGCCACCUUGGCGCUGGACGACGUCGACGACGAAGGCGCCGACCUCGCCGUGAUCUUGGCGGGCUUGAGCAUGGUCAUCGUGGCUAUGGUCGCCAUUGACGCCUAGCUCCCUGGUUGCUCGCUGCCUUCUCUCCCUCGCAAGAAGCUCUCACGCUGGCAAAAAGGUGGAUGGAGGGGUGCUGUGGGGUGCGCGGGUGUGUAAUGCGAUGCCCUUCCCUUCCCCUGCGUUUCUAGAACGGACGAUGUGGCGUGGCUAGCUUAUCUUGUGCGGCGAGUGUGCGAUGGAGGUUUGAAAGCUUAUCUCGCGGCCUGCAACUUGCAAUGCCAUUGGCUGUGGGAGCAACUAGGCGGGGACCACACGAUUUACAUGGAGACUUUGGUGAGAGGAAGUGGAGUCGUGAAAUGAAUCGGAAAUUCAGAUAUCUCACAGUAGUAGGAAUAUAAGCGUGCCCUAGAAUGUCCUAUGGUACCAAACGACAAGAUCGUAUUCGUCUCAAGAAAAGACAAGAUCGGAGAUCGUCUGGAUUGAAACGUCUAGGUAUUUUCGGUGAAUUUCAGUUAAAAAUACACGAAAUGACGUUCAUCUUCGUGCUCCACAAUGUCUUUCCUCUUCGUUUACGCUGAUCAUUGCAGAACUAUUCUGUAACACAGACGAAGGAAGUAGACAACACCAUCCAAACGUUGAUAAUAAUUAAUAAGUUUAUGAAUUACUUCAUGCAUGAGCAUCAAAAUAUGAUGAACCACCAAACUAGAUACAGCACGGAAAGAACAAAAUCUGGUAGCAAUUAUUCACUCCCUACACGGAAUCGCCAGGCGUUUCCAUCCAUUAUUCGUCAGGGUAGAAACCAUGGAGCAAAAACAAACCAAAUGGCAGGCUGAUUACAACUUUCCGACAUCUCCACGGGGGAAGACCCUGCUCUGCUCACACUCAGGCUCCGAGCUGCAGCUUCUUUAUUGUGUCGAUCUGCUUUGCAGGGUUCAGCCCCUUGGGGCAGGCAUGCGUGCAGUUCUUGAUGGUGUGGCAGCGGUACAGCUUGAACUCGUCGUUGAUGGAGUCAAGGCGCUCCUUUGUGAACUCAUCACGGCUGUCUUGGAUCCACCUGGGAAGAACCAAUGUGUUUAUGGCACACGCCAAAGAAGCAUGUUAUAUCUCUCAGACACUGCAGUCGUAAGCCCAAUCCAAAGAACCAAUGUGUUUAUGGCUCAAGGCAUUUGAAACACUUGCAGAUAUGUGAAAAUGAUACUUAAACAAGUUAUAAAUGACUAAGAUGUUUCCCGGUUCUUCUGACUAAGGGCACUUGCAAUUAUUAGUCAAAAGAUAUUGUUCAAAUUUUUGUGUGCCUUAUAUCAGAUCAUGUUUUAGAUUAGAAGUUAAAAGGGCAAAUUGUGACAAACAAUAUGAUAAAUCAGAGGAUCAGAUAUACUAAAUCUCAGUGCACUCAUCAAAUAAAACCAGAUGAGAUAAAUAUUGAAUCAAACAGCCAGCUUAUAGAAACCUUGAACAAUAGAAUCUUUAGCUUCAUAAAUGCUGAAUAGCAUGAAAAACAGUACAUUACACUGCCUCAACUAAAUAAAGAGAAAACCAUGCCGUUUGCUGGCAGUAAAAAAACUUGACAGAUAGUUUCAGGAAUCAAACACUGAAAGAGGGCAACCUUAUUUUGCUGGCCUACUGAAGAGCUAGUUCUUUCUUCUACCCAUCUGUUAACAUCUACCAAGAUGCUUUCUUAACACCCAUCAGUUCACCCUUAUUUGCCAAGGUACGGAACACGAUACGAGACAUGCGGAAUUUUUGGUAGACACCACGAGAGCGGCCCGUGAAAAUACAGCGGUUUCUAAGACGUGUCAUGUUACUAUUUCUUGGCAGCUUGGACAACUUAUAGCGAAACUUAUCCCGCAUAUCUGAUGGAAGAUCAGGGUCCCUACAGACAGACUUAUAAAGCUUUCCUCUCAGCUCAUAUUUUGCUGCAAGCAAUCUACGUUUGUGAUCACGCAUGUUUCUCUUCUCUGAGACCCCAUGAUAUCCUCGAGCUUGGACGUGCAUGAACAUGCUGGGUUUUGGUUUCAUUAGCGUCCCCCACAGCGGAAGCCUAAAAAGGGUGAACGGGUGAACGUGUCAUGGACUUAACAACAUCCUAAAGCUUACAACAAAAGGCAUUAAAUAUAUUAGACAAUUAGCAUUUUAAUUCUGGUAGAACAUAACCAUAAUUUGCGGGUAAAGGGGGAAACUAGCAUGCUCUAUACUGAAAGAGAGGUUACCACAAAUAAAAGUAACUUCCAAAUCAAGGCCACCUCAAGAAUUAGGCUACUAGUGGGGGGAUAGGGGGGCUAGGACUUCCGAUGUCAUCCACAAUCCUAAUAAGGAAGAAGACUCGCGAAGUCAUGAAGAAGCAGACUGCUGAAAUGACAAACUCAUGAUUAUUUCCAACAGUGGCGCAUCAACUUCCAAAACAAUCAGCCAAAGACCAGAUAAAAAAGAAUAAAAACAGUCCCUAGAUAAGGCAUUCUUCAACCAAACGGACAUUUCACAGUACCCACCAAAUGAUCAUCUACACUGCUUCGCCGGGGAGCUAGCAAAGAAGUAACAGAUGAUCAUUGCAUAAAUGGACCUAAUAAUAUAUAUACAAACAGUCACUGAUGCCCAAAAUGUAUAGGCAUUCUUCAACCAAACGGGCAUUUCACACUAUCCGCCAAACAAUCAUGUACACCGCUUUGCCAGGGAGCUAGCAAAAAAGUAACAGAUGAUCAUUGCAUAAAUGUACCAAAUAAUUCACCACCACAUACCAGUGAACAAUUCUCCUAGAUAAAACGCACAUAGUUGCAUGCCUAGAACUACCUAGGCGAGAUGAAACCACCCUACGUAUCAUCCCACAACCAUUUCACAGCAUGACACACCAACCGAUCAAUCACAUGUCACUCGGUAAUCGAGUAGAUCCAGCACACAGAAGCAACAUACUCAGCAUAUCAUCACAAUUCACGAUAUCAAGAGAAUACGAGCGAGGCGCAGGUAUACCUGUUGGCAUGGAGCAGCGCUGCGGGGCCGAGAUACUCUUCUGGGUUCCACCAGUAGGACGGGCAGGAUGUGGAGCAGCAGGCGCAGAGGAUGCACUCGUACAUGCCAUCGAGCUUGGCGCGGUCGGCCUUGGACUGGUAGAUCUCCUUCCCUCCGGCCGACGCCGGGUCCUUGCGCUUGAGCCACGGCUCGACGCUCUUGUACUGGUUGUAGAAGUUGGUCAUGUCGACGACGAGGUCCUUGACGACGAACAUGUGCGGGAGCGGCGAGAUCGUGGAGGCACCGGCCGCCUCCGAGGAGAUCUUGGUGAGGCAGGCCAGCCCGUUGUCGCCGUCGAUGUUCAUGGCGCAGCUGCCGCAGAUGCCCUCGCGGCAGCUCCGGCGGAAGGUGAGGGACGGGUCCUGCUCGUUCUUGAUCUUGAGGAGCGCGUCGAGCACCAUGGGGCCGCAGUCGGAGAGGUCCACCUUGUAGUCCUUGAGGUGGGGCUUCGUCGACGGGGAAUCCGGGUCCCAGCGGUAGAUCGAGAAGGUCUUGGUGCUAGCAGGCUUCGAUGAGGGCGGCGGCGGCGCGGGGGAAGAGGAAUGGGGCUUGGAGGCGACGAGGCGGGAGGAGAGGGCCGGCGAAAGGAGGGCGCGCGCCGCCGGCGAGCGGCGGAGGAGGGCGGCGGCGGCCAUCGAUUUGGGGUUUCGCGUUUCUCUCUCUCUCUCUCUCUCUCUCCUUUUUCUCCUUUAUUUUUGGGAGGUAGGAGAGGGGAAGGUGGCGCGUGGUGGGCUUAGGCCCAGCUGGGUAUAUAUAUGUCGUGGUGCUGAUGGGUGGAUGACAUGUGGGGUCAAGAUGGAGGUAACGGAAUGGCGGUUCUAGGGUUGUGGUGGGUUACUGACAGGUGGGGCUUCUGAAAGCUUGGGUUGGGCCUUCUUGUGGAUGGGAGGGUGGAGAUGUGGACAAGCUCUGGGCCGUUUGCAAGAUGACAAUGGAAAGUUGGCUAGGGAAAAUGACUUCAUCGUAGCGUCAAGUUUUAUUGGAUUUGUGUAGCUUUUUCCUCCUCUCCUUUUUCAGGUCUUCUAUUUCGGUUUUGACUCUGCUGUCAUACCGGUCUUCAUAUAUGUGGGGCAUGUGAGAAUUCAAGAAUGGUGUACUGUGGAAACUGAAACUUAUCUUCAAGCUAUCAUAAAUACAAGAUGUCCUAAUGUUUUAAUGUGUUUGUUCAAUCAUUCCAUUUUGUAUGUAGUCUAUAUUAAAAUAUAUAAUAUUUAUAAACUGAAAAAAAUACUGUGCAUGUAAAAUAUAAUGAAUAAAUUAAGUCGUUGGCACACAACACAUGAUCGUUGAGCCAUCAAUAAAAAGGAUACUCCCCCAUGUACAUUUUACUCCGCAUAUAAGAUUUGUUUAAAGACAGUCUUUGAAAAUUUUGGUCGACUUCAUUAGGAAAAAAAAUCAACAAUCGCAAUGCAAAAUCAAUAGCAUUAAAUGUAUCAUGAAUUUAAUUUUCAUAUUGUAUACCUUUAGCAUUGUAGAUGUUGAUAAUUUUACAUAAAUAUGAUUAAAUUUUAUGAAGUUUGACAUAAAAAAAAAAUCUUGUAUACAGAGCAUAAAAGACCGGAGGUAAUACUGCAUGAACCCUUUUAUUUCAACAACAAAACCAGUGCUAGCAUAAGGAAAGCAAUAUCAUGAGAGCUGCGUAGGCUUGCUCACGCAAAUCCCCAAAUCCUACCGUAGACUUUAGCUGCGAGAGCUAUAUCUCGCUCCAAAACCUUUCCCUCAUGUGCAGCCAUUGGACCAAACCAGUUUCGUCUGGUUGUUUCUGGUUUGAUCUGGUUUUGAUCGAGACACUCUUGUUCGCAUUAGUUUCUUUGAAAAAAAAAAUAUUCUUACCAUGAUUUUCUUUUGGUUCUACAACGGGUUUUUUUUUCGUUUUUAUUUGUUUUAGCCGGUUUCUUCAUUUAUUUAUCGGUAUGAAUGGUUUCCCUCUUUUUUCCUUAGUUUUUUUUUCUUUUCUCGAGUUUUUUGAGAUUUUUUCUUUUCUUUCUUGCAUCAGUUUUCUUCUGUUUCUUAUUAUUUUUAUUUUUCUUUCUCAUUCCUUUUGUAUUUUUAUUUGAUUUUUUGUUUCUUCCCUGCUUCCUAUGAUUUUCAGUGUUUUUUGUGUGUUUCUAUAUUUGUUUUUUUACUGUGUCCCAUUCUUUUUGCAAUUGUUUCUUCGGUUUUGUUUUUCUUUGGUUUCUUUUAUUUCUUUUGUCAGUUUUCAUUUGUUUCUCAUUUUUCUUUGAAUCUUUCAAUAUUCAUCAUACAUUUUACUUGUAUGACAAGAAUAUUUUUCUAACACAAGUUUAACAUUCUUAGAUACAGGUUUCAUUUUUUUAAUACACGGUCAGUAUUUAUUCUAUCCAUGUUUUUUAAGAUCUUGCAAUGGCUUGAUUAUCAUUUUCAAAUACAAGAUUACCAUUUUAGAUACAUGGUCAACAUUUUUCUAUACACAUUAAAAAUCAAAUGCUUAACUAACAUUUUUCAAAUACGCAUGUAAACUUUUUAAAUGUUUCAUUAGCAUUUUCUAAGUACAUGAUCAAUUUUACGGAGUGCAAUUUAAGUUGUCGCAAGUUAAAUAAAUAUUGCAUGAAGAUAGUGUUAGAGGUAAUAACAUUGUGGAAGUCCACUAGGAGAGUGACCAUUUCUGCUACGUGUUGGGUCCUAGAGAUGGAAUGUCAUCUCGACGACAAACCAAGGGUCGUUGUCAAUUGCCACAAGUUGCAUGUCAUGUUGGAAAUAUGUCCUAGAGUCAAUAAUAAAAUGGUUAUUAUUAUAUUUCCUAGUUCAUGAUAAUUUGUCUAUUGUUCAUGCUAUAAUUGUAUUAACCGGAAACCGUAACACAUGUGUGAAUAUAUAGAUAACAAUGUGUGUCUAGUGAGCCUCUAGUUGGCUAGCUCGUUGAUCAAUAGAGGAUCAUGGUUUCCUCAUCAUGGACAUUGGAUGUCAUUGAUAAUGGGAUUACAUCAUUGGGGAAAGAUGUGAUGGACAAGACCCAAUCCUAAGCAUAACACUAGAUCGUGUUGUUCGUCUGCUAAAACUUUUCUAAUGUCAAGUAUCAUUUCCUUAGACCGUGAGAUUGUGAAACUCCCGGAUACCAUAGGAGCGCUUUGGGUGUAUCAAAUGUCACAACGUAACUGGGUGAUUAUAAAGGUGCACUACGGGUAUCUCCGAAAUGUUGGAAAUAUGCCCUAGAGGCAAUAAUAAAUUAGUUAUUAUUAUAUUUCUUUGUUCAUGAUAAUCGUUUAUUAUCCAUGCUAUAAUUGUAUUGAUUGGAAACACAAAUACAUGUGUGGAUACAUAGACAAAACACUGUCCCUAGUAAGCCUCUAGUUGACUAGCUCGUUGAUCAAAGAUGGUCAAGGUUUUCUGACCAUAGACAAGUGUUGUCACUUGAUAACGGGAUCGCAUCAUUAGGAGAAUCAUGUGAUGGACUAGACCCAAACUAUGAACGUAGCAUAUUGAUUGUGUCAUUUUAUUGCUAUUGUUUUCUGCGUGUCAAGUAUUUAUUCCUAUGACCAUGAGAUCAUAUAACUCACUGGCACCGGAGAAAUACCUUGUGUGUAUCAAAUGUCGCAACGUAACUGGGUGACUAUAAGGGUGCUCUACACGUAUCUCCGAAGGUGUCCGUUGAGUUAGUAUGGAUCAAGACUGGGAUUUGUCACUCCGUGUGACGGAGAGGUAUCUCGGGACCCACUCGGUAAUACAACAUCACACACAAGCCUUCCAAGCAAUGUGACUAGAUGUAAGUCACGGGAUCUUGUAUUACAGAACGAGUAAAGAGACUUGCGAGUAACGAGAUUGAAAUAGGUAUGCGGAUACCGACGAUCGAAUCUCGGGCAAGUAACAUACAGAAGGACAAAGGAAAUGACAUACGGGAUUAUAUGAAUCCUUGGCACAGAGGUUCAACCGAUAAGAUCUCCGUAGAAUAUGUAGGAUCCAAUAUGGGCAUCUAGGUCCCGCUAUUGUAUAUUGAUCAAGAAGUGUCUCGGGUCAUGUCUGCAUAGUUCUCGAACCCGCAGGGUCUCCACACUUAAGGUUCGAUGAUGUUUUAGUAUAGUAGAGUUAUAUGUGUUGGUGAACGAAGGUUUUUCGGAGUCCCGUAUGAGAUCACGGACGUCACGAGGGUUUCUGGAAUGGUCCGGAAACGAAGUUUGAUAUAUAGGAAGUUGGUGUUUGGAUUCCGGAAAGUUUUCGGGCAUUGCCGGAGUGUACGGGGAAUGAUGAAUGGGUUCCGGGGGGCCACUGGGUGGGCCCACCACGCCCCAAGGGGUCCACAUGGGUUCAUUGGAUGUACAAUAAGGUAUAAUGGGCUGACAAAGUCAUCCAAGGAAAGCCCAUGAGGAAAAAGUGGAAAAUCCAAAAGAGGUGGGAAAAUAAGGAAGGAGUCCUAAUCCAAGUGGGAUUGGAGAAGGACUCCUCCCUUCCCCAAGUCGACCGACCCAAGGAGGCCUCCUUGGACGGCGCCCUAGGGCUUUGCCCCACCCCUUGGAUCCUCCUAUAUAUACUAGAGAUUUAGGGCUGUUUUGAGACACAACUUUGCCACAUGCAAGUCAAACCUACACCUCGCAGUUCUUCCCCUAGAUUAGAUUUAUGCGGAGCUCGGGCGGAGCUCUGCAGGAAUAGAUCAUCACCGACACCGGCGCGUCGUCACGCAGCCGAAGAACUCAUCUACUUCUCCGUCUUGCUUGCUGGAUCAAGAAGGCCAAGAUCGUCAUCGAGUUGUACGUGUGCUGAACGCGGAGGUGCCGCCCGUUCGGCGCUAGAUCGGGAUUGAUCGUGGGAUGGAUCGCGAGACGGUUCGUGGGACGGUUCGAGGGACGGAUCAUGAAGACGUACCACUACAUCAACCGCAUUUCUUAACGCUUCCCGCUGAGCAAUCUACAAGGGUACGUAGAUCUAAUCUCCUCUCAUAGAUGGACAUCACCAUGAUAGGUCUUCGUGUGCGUAGGAAUUUUUUUGUUUCCCAUGCAACGUUCCCCAACAGUGGCAUCACGAGCUAGGUUCAGGCGUAGAUGUUAUCUCGAGUAGAACACAAAAGGUUUUGUGGACGGUGAUGUUUGAUUUGCUGCCCUCCUUAGUCUUUUCUUGAUUCGGUGGUAUUAUUGAAUUGAAGCGGUCCGGACCGACAUAACUCGUACGCUUACGAGAGACUGGUUUCAUCAACUGACAUGCAACCUCGUUGCAUAAAGAUGACUAGCGGGUGCCUGUUUCUUCAACUUUAGUUGAAUUGGUUUUGACCGAGGCGGUCCUUGGAGAGAGGUUAAAUAGCAAUUUGCACAUCUUUGUUGUGGUUUUUGCGUAAGUAAGAUAAGAUCAUACUAGAUACCCAUAGCAGCCACGUAAAACAUGCAUCAAUAAAUUAGAGGACGUCUAACUUGUUUUUGCACGGUAUGCUUGUGAUAUUAUAUGACCAAUGACGUGUUGUGAUAUUUUGGAUGUAUGAGAUGACCAUGCUGUAAUAGUUAAUAUCGACUUGCGCGUCGAUGCUACAGCAACCGGCAGGAGCCACAGGGUUGUCUUUAAACUAACGUUUGUGUUUGCAGAUGCGUUUACUAUAUUGCUAGGUCGUAGCUUUAGUAGUAAUAGCAUAUAUAGCACGACAACCUCGAUGGCAGCACGAUGAUGGAGAUCAUGGUGUGGCACCGGUGACAAGAAGAUCAUGUCAGUGCUUUGGUGAUGGAGAUCAAGAAACACAAGAUGAUGGCCAUAUCAUGUCACUUAUGAAUUGCAUGUGAUGUUAAUCCUUUUAUGCACCUUAUUUUUCUUAGAACGGCGGUAGCAUUAUAAGGUAAUCUCUCACUAAAAUUUCAAGAUGAAAUUGUGUUCUCCCCGACUGUGCACCGUUGCGACAGUUCAUCGUUUCGAGACACAACGUGAUGAUCGGGUGUGACAGACUCAACGUUCACAUACAACGGGUGCAAAACAGUUGCACACACGAAACACUCGGGUUAAACUUGACGAGCCUAGCAUGUGCAGACAUGGCCUCGGAACACAAGAGACCGAAAGGUCGAGCAUGAAUCGUAUAGUUGAUAUGAUUAGCAUAGAGAUGCUUACCACUGAAACUAUUCUCAAAUCACGUGAUGAUCGGACUUGAGUUAGUGAAUUUGGAUCAUGUACUACACAAAUGACUAGAGAGAUGUACUUUUUGAGUGGGAGUUUAUUAAGUAAUUUGAUUAGUUAAACUCUAAUUAUCAUGAACAUAGUCAAAAGGUCUUUGCGAAUUAUGAUGUAGCUUGCGCUAUAACUCUACUGUUUUUUAUAUGUUCCUAGAGAAAAUUUAGUUGGAAGAUGAUAGUAGCAACUUUGCAGAAUUAGUCCGUAAAACCGAGGAUUGUCCUCAUUGUUGGGCAGAAGGCUUAUGUCCUUAAUGCACCACUCGGUGUGCUGCACCUCGAGCGUCGUUUGUGGAUGUUGCGAACAUCUGACAUACACGUUUUUGAUGACUACGUGAUAGUUCAGUGCGUAAUACUUAAUGGCUUAGAAGCAAGGCACCAAUGACAUUUUGAAACGUCACGGAACAUAAGUGAUGUUCUAAGAGAUGAAAUUGAGAUUUCAUGCUCGUGCCCAUGUUGAGAGGUAUGAGACCUCCGACAAGAUUCUUUGUCUACAAAGUAAAGGAGAAAAGCUCAAUCGUUGAGCAUAUGCUCAGAUUGUCUGAGUAGAACAAUCGCUUGAAUCAAGUGGGAGUUAAUCUUCCAGAUGAGAUAGUGAUGGUUCUCCAAAGUCACUGCCACCAAGCUGCUAGAGCUUCGUGAUGAACUAUAACAUAUCGAGAAUAGAUAUGAUGAUCCUUAAGCGAUUCGCAAUGUUUGACACUGCGAAUGUAGAAAUCAAGAAGGAGCAUAAAUUGUUGAUGGUUAUUAAAACCACUAGUUUCAAGAAGGGCAAGGGCUAGAAGGGAUACUUCAUGAAACGGCAAACCAAUUGCUGCUCUAAAGAAACCCAAGAUUGAACCCAAACCCGAGACUAAGUGCUUAUGUUACGAGGGGAACGGUCACUAAGGUGGAGCUACCCUAGAUGCUUGGUAGAUAAGAAGGCUAGCAAACUCAACCUAAGUAUAUUUGAUAUACAUGAUAUAGAUGUGUACUUUACUAGUACUCCUAGUAGCACGAUGGUAUUGGAUACCGGUUCGGUUGCUAAGUGAUUAGUAACUCGAAAUGAAAGCCACGGAAUAAACGGAGACUAGCUAAAGGUGAGGUGAUGAUACGUGUUGGAAGUGUUUCCAAGGUUGAUGUGAUCAAAACAUCACACGCUCCAUCUAUCAUCGGGAUUGGUGUUAAACCUAAGUAAUUGUCAUUUGGUGUUUCCGUUGAGCAUGAACAUGAUUGGAUCGUGUUUAUUGCAAUACGAUUAUUCAUUUAAAGAAAAUAAUAGUUAUUCUAUUUGCUUGAAUAAUUACCCUCAAUGGUUUAUUGAAUCUCGAUCGUAGUGUUACACAUGUUCAUAAUAUUGGUGCCAAAAGAUACAAAGUAAUAAUGAUAGUACCACUUACUUGUGGCACUGCCACUUGAGUCAUGUUGGUGUAAAAUGCAUGAAGAAACUCCAUGCUGAUGGAUCUUUGUACUCACUCAUUUUUGAAACGUUUGAGACAUGCAAACCACACCUGUUGGUAUAAACGCAUGAAGAAACUCCAUGCGGAUGGAUCGUUUGGAUUCACUUGAUUUUGAAUCACUUGAGACAUGCAAAAUCAUACCACAUGGAACAAGAAAGUAACUUGUUGGAAGCAAUGCAUUUUGAUGUAUGCAGUCCAAUGAGUGCUGAGGCACGCAGUGGAUAUCGUUAUCUUCUUACUUCACUGAUGAUUUGAGUAGACACAGGAGUAUUUACUUGAUGAAUCACAAGUCUGAAAUAUUGAAAAGUUCAAAGCUAUUUCACAGUGAAGAUCGUCGUGACAAGAGGAUAAACUGUCUACGAUAUGAUCAUAGAGAUGAAUAUCUGAGUUGCGAGUUUUGGUACACAGUUAAGACAAUGUGGAAAUUGUUUCGCAAAUCAUGCCACCUAGAACACCAUAGUGUGAUGGUGUGUCCAAACGUCAUAGCCGCACCCUAUUGGAUAUAGCACAUACUGUGAUGUCUCUUAUCGAAUUACCACUAUCGUUUAUGGGUUAUGCAUUAGAUACAACCGCAUUCACUUUAAAUAGGGCACCACGUAUUUCUGUUGAGAUGACACAGUAUAGACUAUGGUUUGGAGAAACCUAAGUUGUCGUUUCUUAAAAGUUUGGGGCUGCGAUGCUUAUGUGAAAAGGUUUCAGUCUGAUAAGCUCAAACCCAAAGAGGAUAAAUGCAUCUUCAAAGGAUAUCCAAAAUAGUUGGGUACAUCUCCUAUCUCAGAUCCAGAAGCGAAGUGUUUGUUUCUAGAAAUGGGUCCUUUCUCGAGGAAAGGUUUCUCUCGAAAGAAUUGAGUGGGAGGGUGGUGGAACUUGAUGAGGUUAUUGAACCGUCACUUCAACUAGUGUGUGGCAGGGUGCAUGAAGUUGUUCCUGUCGGGCCUACACCAAUUGAAGUAGAAACUGAUGAUGGUGAUCAUUAAGCUUCGGAUCAAGUUACUACAAACCUCGUAGGUCGACAAGGUCGCGUACUACUACAGAGUGGUAUGGUAACCCUGUCUUGGAGGUCAUGUUGUUGAACAACAAUGAACCUACGAGCUAUGGAGAAGUGAUGGUGGGCCCAGAUUCUGACAAAUAGCUGGAGGCCAUGAAAUCAAGAGAGGAUCCAUGUAUGAAAAUGAAGUGUAGACUUUGGGAGAACUACUUGAUGGUCGUAAGACUAUUAAGUAAAGAUGGAUAUUUAAAAGGAAGACACACGAUGAUGGUGAAAAGUCACCAUUAAGAAAAGCUCAACUUUUCGCAAAGAUGUUUCCGACAAAGUUCAAAGAGUUGACUAUGAUGAGACUUUCUCACUCGUAGCGAUGCUAAAAGUCUGUUGGAAUUAUGUUAGCAAAUGAUGCAUUGUUUGUAAUAUAUUGCACAUAGGAUGUCAAAACAUUGUUUCCUCGACGGUUUCCUUGAGGAAAGGUUGUAUGUGAUGCAACCAGAAGGUUUUGUUAAUCCUAAGGAUGCUAACUAGUAUGCAAGCUCCAGCGAUCCUUCUAUGGGCCGGUGCAAGUAUCUCGGAGUUGGAAUAUAUGCUGUGAUGAGAUGAUCAAAGCUUUUGGGUUUGUACAAGGUUUAUGAGAAACUUGUAUUUUCAAAGAAGUGAGUGGGAGCACUAUAGAAUUUCUGAUAAGUAUAUGUGGUUGACAUAUUGUUGAUCGGAAGUAAUGUAGAAUUUCUCUAAAGCAUAAAGGGUUGUUUGAUAGGAGUUUUUCAAAGGAAGACCUGGAUAGAGCUACUUGAACUUUGAGCAUCAAGAUCUAUAGAGAUAUAUCAAAACACUAAAUAGAAUUUUCAAUGUAAUGCAUGCCUUGACAGGUUUUUGAAGGAGUUCAAAAUAGAUCAGUAAAGGAGUUCUUGAUUGUGUUGUAAGGUGUGAAUUUGAGUAAGACUCAAAGCCCGACCACGACAGAAUAAAGAGAAUGGAUGAAGGUCGUCUUCUAUGCCUUAGUCGUAGACUCUAAAGUAUGCCAUGCUGUGUACCGCACCUGAUGUGUGCCUUGCCACAAGUCUGUUAAGAGGUACAGAGAGUGAUCCAGGAUUGAAUCACUAAACAACGAUCAAAGUUAUCCUUAGUAACUAAUGGACUAAGGAAUUUUUCUCGACUAUGGAGGUGAUUAAAGAGUUUGUUGUAAAGGGUUACAUCGAUGCAAGCUUUGACACUAAUCCAAAUAACUCGGAGUAGUAAAACGGAUUUGUAUAGUAGAGUAGAUAUUUGGAGUAUUUCCGAAUAGCACGUAGUAGCAGCAUCUAUAAGAUGACAUAAAGAUUUGUAAAGCACACACGGAUCUGAAAGAUUCAGAAUCAUUGACUAAAACCUCUCUCACGAGCAAGACGUGAUCAAACCUCAGAACUAUGUGGGUGUUGGAUUCGUUAAAAUUACAUGGUGAUGUGAACUAGAUUAUUCACUCUAGUGCAAGUGGGAGACUGUUGGAAAUAUGCCCUAGAGGCAAUAAUUAAUUAGUUAUUAUUAUAUCUAUUUGUUCAUGAUAAUCGUUUAUUAUUCAUGCUAUAAUUGUAUUGACUGGAAACACAACUACAUGUGUGGAUACAUAGACAAAACACUGUCCCUAGUAAGCCUCUAGUUGACUAGCUCGUUGAUCAAAGAUGGUCAUGGUUUUCUGACCAUAGACAAGUGUCGUCAAUUGACAACGGGAUCACAUCAUUAGGAGAAUCAUGUGAUGGACUAGACCCAAACUAUGAACGUAGCAUAUUGAUCGUGUCAUUUUAUUGUUAUUGUUUUCUGCAUGUCAAGUAUUUAUUCCUAUGACCAUGAGAUCAUAUAACUCACUCGCACCAGAGAAAUACCUUGUGUGUAUCAAACGUCGCAACGUAACUGGGUGACUAUAAAGGUGCUCUACAGGUAUCUCCGAAGGUGUCCGUUGAGUUAGUAUGGAUCAAGACUGGGAUUUGUCACUCCGUGUGACGGAGAGGUAUCUCGGGGCCCACUCGAUAAAACAACAUAACGCACAAGCCUUGUAAGAAAUGUGACUAAAUGUAAGUCACGUGAUCUUGUAUUAUAGAAUGAUUAAAGAGACUUGCGAGUAACGAGAUUGAAAUAGGUAUACGGAUACCGACGAUCGAAUCUCGGGCAAGUAACAUACCGAAGCACAAAGGAAAUGACAUACGGGAUUAUAUGAAUCCUUGGCACAGAGGUUCAACCGAUAAGAUCUUCGUAGAAUAUGUAGGAUCCAAUAUGGGCAUCCAGGUCCCGCUAUUGGAUAUUGACUGAGAAGUGUCUCGGGUCAUGUCUACAUAGUUCUCGAACCCGCAGGGUCUCCACACUUAAGGUUCGAUGAUGUUUUAGUAUAGUAGAGUUAUAUGUGUUGGUGAGUGAAGGUUGUUCGGAGUCUCGGAUGAGAUCACGGACAUCACGAGGGUUUCUGGAAUGGUCCGAAAAUGAAGAUUGAUAUAUAGGAAGUUGGUGUCUGGAUUCCGGAAAGUUUUCGGGCAUUGCUCGCAGUGUACGGGGAAUGAUGAAUGGGUUUCGGGGGCCACUAGGUGGGCCCACCACGCCCCAAGGGGUCACAUGGGUUCAUUGGAUGUAAAAUAAGGUAUAAUGGGCUGACAGAGUCAUCCAAGGAAAGCCCAUGAGGAAAAAGUGGAAAAUCCAAAAGAGGUGGGAAAAUAAGGAAGGAGUCAUAAUCCAAUUGGGAUUGGAGAAGGACUCCUCCCUUCCCCAAGUCGGCCGACCCAAGGAGGCCUCCUUGGCCGGUGCCCUAGGGCUUUUCCCCGCCCCUUGGCUCCUCGUAUAUAUACUAGAGGUUUAGGGCUGUUUGGAGACACAACUUUGCCACAUGCAAGUGAAACCUACACCUCACAGUUCUUCCUCUAGAUUAGAUUUCUGCGGAGCUCGGGCGGAGUCGUGCAGGAAUAGAUCAUCACCAACACUGGCGCGUCGUCAUGCUGCCGAAGAACACAUCUACUUUUCCAUCUUGCUUGCUGGAUCGAGAAGGCCGAGAUCGUCAUCGAGUUGUACGUGUGCUAAAUGCGGAGGUGCCGUCCGUUCGGCGCUAGAUCGGGAUGGAUCAUGGGAUGGAUUGCGAGACGGUUCGUGGGACGGAUCGUGGGACGGUUCGAGGGACGGAUCGUGAAGACGUACCACUACAUCAACCGCGUUUCUUAACGCUUCCCGCUGAGCAAUCUACAAGGGUACAUAGAUCUAAUCUCCUCUCAUAGAUGGACAUCACCAUGAUAGGUCUUCGUGUGCGUAGGAAUUUUUUUGUUUCCCAUGCAACGUUCCCCAACACGAAAGUGUAUGUUCGGUUCUACGAAUCGAGACUGGGAUUUGUAACUCAGUGUGACAGAGAGGUAUCUUUGGGCCCACUUGGUAAUCCAUCAUCAUAUUGAGCUCAUUGUGACUAAGGAGUUAGCUACGGGAUGAUGUGUUACAGAACGAGUAAAGAGACUUGCCGGUAACAAGAUUGAACAAGGUAUGGGGAUACCAACGAUCGAAUCUCGGGCAAGUAUCGUACCGGUAGACAAAGGGAAUUGCAUAGGGAUUGACUGAAUCAUUAACAUCGUGGUUCAUCUGAUGAGAUUAUCGUGGAACAUGUGGGAACCAGCAUGGAUAUCCAGACCCCGCUGUUGGUUAUUGACCAGAGAGAUGUCUCGGUCAUGUCUUCAUAUCUCCCGAACCCGUAGGGUCUACACACUUAAGGUUUGAUGAAGCUAGGGUUAUAGGGAAAAAGUGUACGUGGUUACCAAAGGUUGUUUGGAGUCCCGGAUGAGAUGUCGGACGUCAGAGGAGCUCCGAAAUGGUCCGGAGGUAAAGAUUGAUAUAUAGGAAGUCCUGUUUUGGUCACCGGAUAAGUUUUGGGCUCAUCGGUAGUGUAUCGGGAGUGCGAGGAGGUUGCAGAAGGACCCCCGGGAGGGGUGUGACGACCAAAGGAGUUCAUGGGCUGUUAGAGGAGGUGGACCAACCCUUAUUGGGCUGGCCAAGGCCUUCCCUAAAGGCCCAUGCAGCUAGGGAUAAAGGAAAUAAGGCAAAAGGGGUUUGAAAGGAAGGGAUCCACCUCCCUUGUGGGAGGUGGACUCCUCCCCUAGUUCGGCCGAACCUCUCCUCCUUAGAGGAGGGGCCAAGGCAACCCUCCCUCUCCCUCCUCAUAUAUAUACUUGAGGUUUUGGCCCUUUUGAGACAGACAAUUGAUCUCUCCCAAGGCGCAGCCCUAUCUCUCUCUUCUUCCUCCUCUGCAACGCUUGGCGAAGUCCUGCCGGGGAACCACAUAGCUCCACCAUCACCAUGCCGCCAUGUUGCCAGAUCUCUCCCUCAACUUCUCCUCUCUCCUUGCUGGAUCAAGAAGGAGGAGACAUCGCCGGGCUAUACGUGUGUUGAACGCGGAGGCACCAUCGUUUGGUGCAUAGAUCGGAAUCUUCCGCGAUCUGAAUUGCGGCGAGUACGACUCCAUCAACCGCAUCCUAGUAACGCUUCCGCUUAGCGAUCUUAAAAGGUAUGAAGAUGCUCUACAUCCUCUCUUGUUGCUGAUUUCUCCAUAGAUAGACCUUGCAUGGCGUAGGAAUUUUUUUGAAAUUACUACGGUCCCCAACAGUGGCAUCCGAGCCAAGGUUCUAUGCAUUGAUUCUAUGCACGAGUAGAACACAAAAGUUGUGGGCGUUGAUUUUGUAAAUUGCUUGCCGUUACUAGUCUUAUCUUGAUUUGGCAGCAUCGUGGGAUGAAGCGGCCCGGACCGACUUUACACGUAUCUUACAUGACACUAGUUCCACUGACCGACAUGCACUAGUUGCAUAAGGUGGCUAGCGGGUGUCUGUCUCUCCCACUUUAGUCGGAUCGGAUUCGAUGAAGAGGGUCCUUAUGAAGGGUAAAUAGCAUGGGCAUAUCAACAUUGUGGUUGUCACGUAGGUGAGAAACCCUAACCAGCCACGUAAAACUUGCAACGACAAUUAGAGGACGUCUAACUUGUUUUUGUAGGGUACGCUAUGUGAUGUGAUAUGGCCAAAAGGAUGUGAUGUUACAUAUGUGAUGUAUGAGAUUGAUCAUGUUCUUGUAAUAAGAUUCACGACUUGCAUUUCGAUGAGUAUGACAACCGACAGGAGCCAUAGGAGUUGUCUUAAUUUAUUGUAUGAGAUGCAGUGCCAUGUUGAUUACUUUACAUUAUCGCUAACGGUUAUCUAUAGUAGUAGAAGUAAUAGUUGGCGUGACGACUUCGCGAUGACAUAAUGAAGGAGAUCAUGAUGAUGGGGAUCAUGGUGUCAGGCCGGUGACGAUGAUGAUCAUGGUGCCCCGAAGAUGGUGAUCAAAGGAGCAAGAUGAUAUUGGCCAUAUAAUGUCACUAUAUGAUUGCAUGUGAUGUUUAUCAUGUGUUUACAUCUUAUUGCUUAGAAUGACGGUAGCAAAGAUAAGAUGAUACCUCAUAAAAUUUCGAGAUAUGUAUUCCCCUAAGUGUGCACCAUUACGAAGGUUCGUUGUUUCGAAGCACCACGUGUUGAUCGGGUGUGAUAGAUUCUAACGUUCGCAUACAACGAGUGUAAGCCAGUUUACACACGCAGAACACUUAGGUUGACUCAACGAGCCUAGCAUGUACAGACAUGGCCUCGAAUAUCGGUAGACCGAAAGAUCGAACAUGAGUCGUAUGGUUGAUACGAUCAUCAUAGAGAUGCUCACCAUUGAUGACUAGUCCGUCUCACGUGAUGAUCGAACACGGGCUAGUCGACGUUGAUCAUGUGUCACUUGGAUGACUAGAGGGAUGUCAAUCUAAGUGGGAGUUCAUUAGUAAUUUGAUUAGAUGAACUUAAUUAUCAGGAACGUAGUCUAAAAGUGUCUUUACAAAUAUUGUAGAUCUAAUGGACAACGCAGAUGUCUCAUUCAACUUCAACGCGUUCCUAGAGAAAACCAAGCUAAAAGGCGAUGGGAGAAACUAUGCGGAUUGGGCUCGUAACUUAAAGCUCAUCCUCAGUGUUGCCAAGAAGGCAUAUGUCCUUACUGCACCGCUAGGUGAUCCUCCCGUUCCCGCGGUAGACCAGGACGCUAGGAACGUCUGGCAGUCACGGAGUGAUGACUACUCUCUCGUUCAGUGUGGCAUGCUUUACAGUUUAGAACCGGGGCUCCAAAGGCGUUUUGAGCAACACAGAGCAUAUGAGAUGUUCGAGGAGAUGAAACUUGUUUUUCAAGAUCAUGCCCGGGUCGAGAGAUAUGUAGUCUCCGACAAGUUUUUUAGCUGUAAGAUGGAGGAGAAUAGUUCUGUGAGUGAGCACAUACUCAGAAUGUCUCGGUUGUACAACCGCCUGACUCAGCUGGGAGUUGAACUUCCGGAUGAUGCGGUCAUUGACAGAAUCCUCCAGUCGCUUCCACCUAGCUAUAAAGGCUUUGUGAUGAAUUACAACAUGCAAGGGAUGGAAAAGACUAUUCCCGAGUUGUAUUCAAUGUUGAAAUAUGCAGAGGUAGAAAUCAAGAAAGAGCAUCAAGUGUUGAUGGUCAAUAAGACCACCAUUUUCAAGAAGGGCAAGUGUAAGAAAAACUUCAAGAAAGACGGCAAAACAGUUGCCGCACCCGGUAAGCCAGUUGCCGGGAAGAAGCCAAAGAAAGGACCUAAGCGUGACGCUGAGUGUUAUUACUGCAACGGAACCGGUCACUGGAAGCGGAAUUUCCCCAAGUACUUAGCGGACAAGAAGGCCGGCAACGUCAAAGGUAUAUGUGAUAUACUUGUUAUUGAUGUGUACCUUACCAGCGCUCGUAGUAGCUCCUGGGUAUUUGAUACCGGUGAUGUUGCUCACAUUUGCAACUCUAAGCACGAACCGCGGAACAAGCGUAGGCUGGCUAAGGACAAGGUGACGAUGCGCAUCGGGAAUGGUUCCAAGGUCGAUGUGAUCGUCGUCGGCAUGCUACCUCUACAUCUACCUUCGGGGUUAGUUAUAAACCUUAAUAAUUGUUAUUUAGUACCAGCUUUAAGCUUGAACAUUGUAUCAGGAUCUCGCUUGAUGCAAGAUGGCUACUCAUUUAAAUCUGAGAAUAAUGGUUGUUCUAUUUAUAUGAGUGGUAUGUUUUAUGGUCAUGCCCCGCUGGCAAAUGGUUUAUUCCUGAUUAAUCUCGACUGUGAUGAUACACAUGUUCAUAGUGUGAGUGCUAAAAUAUGCAAGGUUGAUAAUGGUAGUCCCACAUACUUGUGGCACUGCCGCCUUGGUCAUAUCGGUGUAAAGCGCAUGAAGAAACUCCAUACCGAUGGACUUUUGGAGUGUGUUGAUUUUGAAUCAUUUGACACAUGCGAGCCGUGCCUCAUGGGCAAGAUGACCAAGACACCAUUCUCCAGAAUAAUGGAGCGAGCGACCAACUUAUUGGAAAUAAUACAUACCGAUGUAUGCGGUCCAAUGAGCGUUGAAGCUCGCGGAGGCUAUCGUUAUGUUCUCACCCUCACUAAUGAUUUGAGUAGAUAUGGGUAUGUCUACUUAGUGAAGAACAAGUCUGAAACCUUUGAAAAGUUCAAGGAAUUUCAGAAUGAGGUGGAGAAUCAACGUGACAAUAAAAUAAAGUUCUUACGAUCCAAUCGUGGAGGAGAAUAUUUGAGUCACGAGUUUGGAACACACCUAAGGAAAUGUGUAAUUGUUUCACAACUCAUGCCGCCUAGCACACCGUAGCGUUACGGUGUGUUUGAACAUCGUAAUCGCACUCUAUUAGAUAUGGCACGAUCUAUGAUGUCUCUUACCGAUUUACCGCUAUCAUUUUGGGGCUAUGCAUUGGAAACUGUUGCAUUCACUUUAAAUAGGGCACCGUCUAAAUCCGUUGAGACGACACCGUAUGAAUUAUGGUUUGGCAAGAAACAUAAGCUGUCGUUUCUGAAAGUUUGGGGCUGCGAUGCUUAUGUGAAGAAACUUCAACAAGAGAAGCUCGAACCCAUAGCGGAAAAAUGCGUCUUCAUAGGAUACCCUAAGGAAACUAUUGGGUACACCUUCUAUCUUAGAUCCGAAGGCAAGAUUUUUGUUGCUAGGAACGGAUCCUAUCUAGAGAAAGAGUUUCCCUCGAAAGAAGUAAGUGGGAGGAAAAUAUAACUUGAUGAGGUAAUUGUACCUCCUCUCGAACCGGAGAGUAGCGCGGCGCAAGAAAAUGUUUGUGAGGCGCCUGCACCGUCUAGAGAUGAAGUUAAUGAUGAUGAUCAUGACACUUCGGAUCAAGUUGCAAUUGAACCUCGAAGGUCGACAAGGGUACGUUCCGCACGAGAAUGGUACAACAACCCUAUCAUGGAAAUCAUGUUGUUGGACAACAGUGAACCUUCGAACUAUGAACAAACGAUGGCGGGCCCGGAUUCCAACAAAUGGCUAGAGGCCAUGAAAUCCGAGAUAGGAUCCAUGUAUGAGAACAAAGUAUGGACUUUGGUGGACCGCCCGAUGAUCGGUGAGCCAUAGAAAAUAAAUGGAUCUUCAAGAAGAAGACUGACGCGGAUGGUAAUGUGACCAUCUAUAAGGCUCGACUUGUCGCUAAGGGUAUCGACAAGUUCAAGGGAUUGACUACGAUGAGACCUUCUCACCCGUAGCGAUGCUGAAGUCGGUCUGAAUCAUAUUAGCAAUUGCCGCAUUUUAUGAUUAUGAAAUCUGGCAAAUGGACGUCAAAACAGCAUUCCUCAACGGCUUUCUUGAAGAAGAAUUGUAUAUGAUACAACCGCAAGGUUUUGUCGAUCCUAGCAAUGCUAACAAGGUAUGCAAGUUCCAACGCUUCAUCUAUGGGCUGGUGCAAGCAUCUUGGAGUUGGAACAUUCGCUUUGAUGAGGUGAUCAAAGCAUUUGGGUUUAUACAGACUUAUGGAGAAGCCUGUAUUUACAAGAAAGUGAGUGGGAGCUCUGUAGCAUUUCUCAUAUUAUAUGUGGAUGACAUAUUGUUGAUGGAAAUGAUAUAGAAAUAUUGGAAAGCAUAAAGGCCUAUUUGAAUAAGAGUUUUUCAAUGAAGGACCUUGGAGAAGCUGCUUACAUAUUAGGCAUCAAGAUCUAUAGAGAUAGAUCGAGACGCCUCAUAGGUAUUUCAGAAAGCACAUACCUUGACAAGAUAUUGAAGAAGUUCAAUAUGGAGAAGGCUAAGAAGGGGCUCUUGCCUGUAUUGCAAGGUGUGAGGUUGAGUGCCACUCAACGACCGACCACGACAGAAGAUAUAGAGAAGAUGAGUACCAUCCCCUAUGCUUCAGCCAUAGGCUCUAUUAUGUAUUGCAUGUUGUGUACCAGACCUGAUGUGAACCUUGCCAUAAGUUUGGUAGGGAGGUACCAGAGUGAUCCAGGAGUGGAUCACUGGACAAUGGUCAAGAAUAUCCUAAAGUACCUGAAAAGGACUAAAGAUAUGUUUCUCGUUUAUGGAGGUGCCAAAGAGCUCUUCGUAAAGGGUUACGUCGAUGCUAGCUUCAACACAGAUCCGGAUGACUCAAGGUCACAAACCGGAUACAUGUACAUUUUGAAUAAUGGGAUAGUUAGCUGGUGCUGUUGCAAGCAAAGCGUCGUGGCGGCAUCUACAUGUGAAGCGGAGUACAUCGCUGCUUCAGAAGCAGCACAGGAAAGAGUCUGGAUGAAGGAGUUCAUCACCGACCUAGGAGUGGUUCCAAGUGCGUCAGGCCCGAUGACUCUGUUGUGUGACAACACUGGAGCUAUUGCCAUUGCAAAGGAGCCCAGGUUUCACAAGAACACCAAGCUCAUCAAGCACCGCUUCAACUCCAUUCGUGGAUACACCCAGGAUGGAGAUAUAGAUAUUUGUAAAGUACAUACGGAUCUGAAUGUCGCAGACCCAUUGACUAAACCUCUUCCACGAGCGAAACAUGAUUAGAACCAGAACUCUAUGGGUGUUCGAUUCAUCACAAUGUAACUAGAUUAUUGGCUCUAGUGCAAGUGGGAGACUAUUGGAAAUAUGCCCUAGAGGCAAUAAUAAAGUGGUUUUUAUUAUGUUUCCUAGUUCAUGAUAAAUUGUCUAUUGUUCAUGCUAUAAUUGUAUUAACCGGAAACCGUAAUACAUGUGUGAAUAUAUAGAUAACAAUGUGUCCCUAGUGAGCCUCUAGUUGGCUAGCUCGUUGAUCAAUAAAUCAUCAUAGUUUCCUAAUCAUGGACAUUGGAUGUCAUUGAUAAUGGGAUCACAUCAUUGGGGAAUGAUGUGAUGGACAAGACCCAAUCCUAAGCAUAGCACUAGACCGUGUUGUCCGUCUGCUAAAGCUUUUCUAAUGUCAAGUAUGAUUUCCUUGUACAACUCCCGGAUACCAUAGGAGUGCUUUGGGUGUAUCAAACGUCACAGUGUAACUAGGUGAUUAUAAAGGUGCACUACGGGUAUCUCCGAAAGUGUUUGUUGGGUUAUACGAAUCGAGAUUGGGAUUUGUCACUCCGUGUGACGGAGAGGUAUCUGUGGGCCCACUUGGUAAUCCAUCAUCAUAUGGACCUCAGUGUGACUAAGGAAUUAGCCACGAGAUGAUGUGUUACGGAACGAGUAAAGAGACUUGCCAGUAACGAGAUUGAACAAGGUAUGGGGAUACCGAUGAUCGAAUCUCGGGCAAGUAUCAUAUCGGUAGACAAAGGGAAUUGCAUACGGGAUUGAUUGAAUCCUCGACAUCGUGGUUCAUCCGAUGAGAUCAUCAUCGAACAUGUGGGAACCAACAUGGAUAUCCAGACCCCGCUGUUGGUUAUUGACCGGAGAGGUGUCUCGGUCAUGUCUGCAUGUCUCCCGAACCCGUAGGGUCUACACACUUAAGGUUCGAUGACGCUAGGGUUAUAGGGAAAUAGUGUACGUGGUUACCGAAGGUUGUUCGGAGUCCUGGAUGAGAUCUCGGAUGUCACGAGGAGCUCCGAAAUGGUCUGGAGGUAAAGAUUGAUAUAUAGGAUGUCCUCUUUUGGUCACCGGAAAAGUUUCGGGCUCAUCGGUAGUGUGCCGGGAGUGCCAGGAGGGUGUCGGAGGACCCCCAGGAGGGGUGUGACGACCAAAGGAGUUCAGGGGUAGCUACACUUCACCAGUAGUGAUCAAAGUUAACAAGAUUAAGUUUGAUGCAAAAAUAGGAUGCUCCACCAAAUUUGAGCUUCACUGGACAAGUUUGGCAGUGCAAACUUGAAAUCAUCCCCAAAUGGCCAGAUCUGUCCCUUCUAAAGGGAAUGUGGGUAGAUUAAUCCCUACAAAUCCCAUUUUUGGCAUAGGCUCCUUAUUUUGUAUGUUGAGCACUCCUGCAAAGUUUCAAGCCAUCUGAACAAACUUUGACAUGUAGAGUUGCUCCAACUUGAUUCUGGACACAAAGGGUUUUAGGAUUAUUUGUUGAACCAAACCACCUUUAAAUGAGGUGAAACUUGUCAUGGCCACCAAAUAUAGCUUGGGGAGACUGCUGAAAUUUUAUAGGAAUUUAUUGGAAAUAUUUUCUUUGGAAAUAUUUCAAAAGGUGAAAACAAACAAAAUAGGUUUUCAGGAAUUUGCCCAAAUAAUUUGAACAUAAAUAGGGAUUUAAAAUCUUAUGUAUGGAAAAUAUAUGUCUUGUGAGUAUCUCCAAAUUUUCUCACAUUUUUCUGAGGCAGUAAAAUAAUAUUUCAUACAGAAAUGUCAUUUUUGUCCUCAGAAAUGGACAUGCAAAUAAAAUAGGAAAAUAUUUUAUGAAAUAAUUAUUUUAUGAUAUUGGAGAGUAAAAAUAGUUCUAAAACCAGAUUAUCAUCUUUGGGUAAAGGCACUCCCUUGACAUUAGGGACUUGUAGUGCAAACCCAAAGCAAGGUUUUCAAAUAAUAAAAAUGAGAAGAAGGUUUUUAUGAAAUAGUCAUGUUGUAAAAGCUAGUUUUGGGGUCACUCAAUCAAUCAUACACACAAUCAAUGACAAUCAUGGCACUCAUAUCAUUUGUUUUUUUAAUAAAUUCAUAUUUUGAAAACUACAGUUGAAGCGAGGUAAAAACAUGGUGUGAUAGUGUGGGACUAACCCAUGUAGAUGUGGAGAAUAACAAAACAACAAGGAUUGCUCCCAACUCUAGAUGAUCUUCAUCAGCAAUGAGCAUCCACUAUUGCAACAUCUACAUGAAGUCUUGAAUGACAAAACCCAAGGUUAGUUCAUCGCUCUUAGGGGGGGUAUCACAUCUAGGGUGAGCUUUGCUCUAAUACUUGAGCUAAAGCAUCUCUAAUUAUGUGAAUACAUUAAAAGCAUUAUGUAAAAGUUGCAACCCUACUUGAGCUUAGACGAUGAGUAUGACCUAUGAUCAAGUGUUCUCGCUUGGCUCCUAAGUCAGCAUACUCAUAUAUAGAUGAGUUUGUCAUCAACCAUUGCUUGAUAGAUUCUAGAGUGUUUGUGCAUGUUUCACAUAUUUCAUUUGCCAUUUUAAUGUGUGAGAGUCUUGGUAUGCAUGAUUUAUCAUUCAAAGACAUCCAAUUAUAAUUUAUUGGUUUUCACUUUUUUCUCGACAAUUGGAUGUACAAGAAUGCCUAAGUACCCUUUCUAGCUAUAUAUUCUAUCUUGUCUCAAAUCCUUCAUGCUUCAUCACAGAAUUUGAACAAACUAUUUUUCACACCCUUUUGGCGAGGAGCACUCGGAGCCAUCGAUCCUUCUAUGUCUGACUUCUGAAACCUUCUAAGUCUUUUUCGGUGUGACCAAGCUAUAUACAUUCGGUUCCACCGAAGGCAUUUAGACUGAUCUGAUUUCUCACCUCGAUACCACCGGUCAGAAUGUUUUGGCGUCACCGAGUUCCUCUGUCACUCGCAGUUAUGAACUUCAGUGCCACCAAUCCAUUAUUCUUGGUGUCACUAAUAGCACAUGGGUAUAUAUAAUCGCCAAAAUUGUCACAAUCGAGAUUGUGAAUCAGGUCGGAGCUCCGUUGGUAGGAACGUGAAUCACAGAAUCAUAACUAACAAGAUUGUAGAAACUUAGGCUCUAUGAGCAAAAUCAUAGAAUCGGAGGGGCUAGUUUGGAAUGUAAGAUCGUAAGAUUCUAAGACUUGAGUCGUGAUUGUGACAACUUUUAUAAUCUUGGAGAUGGGACUUUGAAUUUUUUUUCAAACCUCCCACUCAUGCACCCCAUUGUUGUUGUCACCUAGGUCUAAAGACGUUUGCCUUUGUCUCCAGCAUGCCCUCGUUACCGAAAUCUGCCGCAGUCAACGAGAAUCUUUGUCGCCCUUACCGUCGUAGAGAGGCUCCGCCAAGUUAGGGUAAAGCCUCAAUCCCCUUUGUGUUCCCCUCCUCAUUUUUGAGAAAAAGGACAUGCCUUACAUCUUGCCACAGUGUGCACAUUCUUAUCCUCUCAGAAAUUCUCGGCUAGUGUUAGGUUUCUGCAAUACGCAACUCGGACCCUCCUACGGAAUUUUUUUGUUAUCAUCAAUGUGGUCUCGGACAUGGCACAAAGGGCUUCUUGGUGAGACCAAGAGGAUCCUAUCAGUGUCACUGAAUACAGAUCUCAGAAGUGUCAUGAGCACUUCAGAGAGACCGGGAAACGUCAUGGUGAAACUGCAAAGACGUUGCCAAGUCUCUGUUGCUGCCUCGGAGCUUUCAAAAUCGAGUACUCGGUGAUUCUGAAUUGCAUAUUGUGAAACCCUAAAACUAAACAUAGAGUUCAAAUAUUUUUGAAAACAUCUAAAUUUUGUGAUGCUCAUCCAUUCCACUCUUGUAUAUCUAAUUCAUAGGGUCUCAGUUCAGCAUGUGUGCUUCAGAUGAUAGUCAGAACAAGUCUAGAGAGCCAAGUGUUGACUUGGAUGUGGGUACCAUCCCUGAGAAGAGCUAUCAUGAGGGAGAAACAAGUUCCCCUAGUUUUCCAAAGGCUGCAACCAAGGCCAAACAGAAGAGAAAUUCAGACGAUUAUGAUGAUGACUUUAAACUACAAAAAGUUACCUCCAAGAAGCAAGCCGAGAGAAAGAGGUGUUGCCAUGAACAUGCAUGAGUCAUCUGCUAUCAAUAGGGGUGUCUUUCUCACUCUGGAGAACCCAGGAGGAUCAAAGGGAACUAAGAUUUUGGCUAAGAAGCCAGAAAAGAACAAAGAAAGGAAGAAGACUGUGCAUGUGACACGCAAAAAGAAUUCUAUUUAUGUGCAUCCAGAAGAACAAGACCAUAAAGAAUUUGCUUCUAACCCUCGUCUUGCAAAGCAAUAGAUGUUAGUGAGAGAUGUUAUGCCAAAAAAACUGCCACUAAGACCAAGACCAAGACUGCCCCCCUGAUACGUCUCCAACGUAUCGAUAAUUUAUGAAGUAUUCAUGCCAUAUUUAACCAAGUUUUCUAUGAUUUUGAUGCACUUUUAUAUUAUUUAAAUGGAACUAGCCCGGACUAACGAUGUUUUUAGCAGAAUUGCCAUGGUGUUGUUUUUGUGUAGAAAAUAAAAGUUCACAGAAUCAAACGAAACUUUUUGGUGACUUUUAUGGAACAAAAGAGGCCCUGAGAGCAUCGGAGGUGUGCUAGGGGGUGGCCAAUGAGGCCACAAGCCCAGGGGUGCCCCCUAUGGUGCGCCCCUCGAGUUUGUUGUUUCCUCGUGGACCCCUGGCGUGAAACCGACACAAGAAAUUCCUAUAAAUCCCAAAAAACAUAAUGAGAAAAGAACUUCCGAACCGCCGCCGCAAGCCUCUAUUUCGAAGCAAUCUUAUAUGCAACACAUUUCUGCCACCCAGUCGGAGGGGGAAAUCAUCAUCGAUGGCCAUCUUCAUCAUUUCGACAAUAUCCAUGUCUAGGAGGGAGUAGCUCACCCCCGGGGCUGAGGGUAUGUACCGAUAGAUAUGUGUUUGAUCUAUCUAUCUCCCUCUAUAUCUCUCUUUCGUUCUUGAGUUGCCACGAUCCCGAUGUAUCACGAGCUUUGUUAAUAUAGUUGAAUGAUAUGGUGUGACCUGGCCACCUCUUAUCUGUCCUAGACUGGGGUUGGAUAUUGAGAGGCGCCGGACAGCCCGGACAUUCGUGGCCGGUUUGAGACGUUUGCGUUGAUCAAAUUUUUUUAGUCAGUUUGUCCGCCCGAAUGUUCGAAACAAGUUUUUUGGGCACCUAAUUGUAGAUGCUCUAAGAGCAUCUAUAGCCGCACAUAGAAAAUAUGACCACCUAAACGCCCGCGAACGCGCCCGGUGAGUGACCGAGCGUGUGCCCUAUUUGUCCGUCCACGCAGCCACACUCCUCAUUUUCUUCCUCAUAUGUCCGAUCACUUGCACAUGAUUGGUUAAGAGGAAUAAAGAUAAAGAAAAGAAUGAAUAAAUAAAAAGACAAGAUGGUCCGGCGUGGGGCCGCAUCGUUCGUGACGGACUGCCCGGGCGUGCCCGGGCGCGUCCAUGAGCCGACAUAUCCUCCCUAUAUUCGUACUCAAUACGAGGGUUCGCGGACAGCCUGAGCCUAUAGGAAUUGUAAGGGCAUUCUCCAGCUUAAGUAUUUUGGUGAUGAUGACAACUCACUAUGUUAUCUAACCGGUUGUCAAGUAUGCAGGUAUCAUUUGUCAAGAUACAAGACGGUUAGGCAUUCCCUUCACACGGAAAUGACCAAAGACAUGGUCCCUUCGUGUUUAAUUUCUUUGGUCAUAGGGAUCCCAUACUAUUAAGAGGGAAUCCACAUUGGAAUACUAUGGGUGAAUUAAUUCUUCUCUAACUCUGUUGCACCCAUCGUGUUUCAUCGCAUCUUGGAGAGAAGAGAAUCCCGGUUUUUCUAUACUGACCGGUUGUACCGGUGUUAUGGGCGGUUGUAUCGCUCAGUGGCUGGGCGGUUGUACCGGCGCUGCACCGGGUCACCACCGGACACGGUUGUGUUUCACUACGGUUAUUGGGUGGUGGUGGCCCGGUUGGACCGUUAUAUUAAAUAUAGCCGAUAUUGCCGGUGUUCCAAGCGGUUAUACCGCUUGGGACUUAGCCACGCCGAGCAACCAUGGCUGGUGACACCCUUGGGGCAACUUCAUGUUUUGGCCCGAUUGUAGGGCGGUGGUCGACUGGUUGUUCCACUAAAAUAGGAACACCGGUUGUACCGGCCAGUGCAAGUUUUGCUGUAAUGGUUAGAAAACUCUUUGUUUAUUAUUGUUGUGUUAGCGUCAUAUAGGUUGCUCACCUAGUUGCAUAUCUAGACAACCUAUUUGUUGCUAAACCUAAUUUGUUUAAAUAAAAUCUUAAAAUUUGUUAGUUGCCUAUUCACCCCCUCUAGUCAACCAUAUCGAUCCUUUCAAUUGGUAUUAGAACCUUGUCUAUUUAUUAAGGGUUUUACCACCCAAAGAGUAUGGUUGACGACGGAACGGGUUGAUAAGGUGCCCGAGGGAGCUGUUGCUAACUCGGUCACACGAGAGUAAUUGAAUGAGGUAAUGUCCACAUUUAAAUCCUCUAUGGCUAUCAAAGUCAAAAACAUGCUUAAGGAUUUCCUUGAUAAUUACAAGUCGUCUAUCGACCAAUUGUUGGCGGCGAAUCCCACAUCUUCGGAUUCGGGAAGCAAUUCCGAAAAGGGAAAUGCUAGUAGUGAAAAGGAUAAACUGCCUGAAGGAACAAUUGUGGCUAAUGCCUUUACCUCUAUUCCUCCUACCUUAGUCUAUGGAGGACCGGUUCACCCACCGCAUAUUAUUAAUCUUUGUCCUCCACCAAAGCUUGUCAAGAAUGAUUUUGCUAACUGGGUUUUCGUAUCAAGUCUCAUUUCAACCACAACUCAACAAAACUUUGGAGAAUCAUUUAGCAGGGAUGCUACCCACAUGAUCCAAGAAAUCUCACACCGAGAGAAGAGGCAGACAGUCAACUCAACCACUCUGCCUUGUUUAUUCUUCAAGCAGUCGUACAUAUUGAAGACCUUCCUCACUUGCGUCCCUUUACACGUGCCAAAGACUGUUGGAGCACAUCAUCUCCGUGUACAAGGGAAGCUCUAGCAUUCAUCGGUUGAUGACGAGUUGAUGGAUAUACUUCUCGCCCCUCCUUCGUUACCCCAAGUGGAAGGUGGAGAUGUAGCGAGCAGCAGAUUUUCCUUACACGGAGACUAUAAGGUUUAUCGAACCAACAUGACUCCUAGGCUCAACAAGUAGGUGUCUUCCACAUGGCGCUAGCAGAAGACAUGGACCUGCACACACAACAAAUAACUUUGCUCCCAACGAGUACAGAGAGGUUUUCAAUCUCUCCGGCCUUGUAGUUUGCAAAGGAUCAAAACACAAAUGGGAAAGUAGUAGUGAUUGCAACGGAAAAGUAAAUGAAAGUGGUAAAUGAUGGAGGUGUAAACAAUGAUGGUGAUAUGGACCGUAGUCACAUGAUGUUCACUAGUGAUGUCUCUCUCCCAAAAGAUGAUAAACAACUAUGCUUGGGUAAACAAAUCACAGUUGGGCAAUUGACAGAAUUAUGAUAGCACCGCAAUGCUAAUUAUGCUACUUGAUAGUUAGAGGUUCAAUACUAAUGGGCACUACGCCAAGGCAAGUAGACCAUUUAUUCAUCAACAUCUAGUUAUUAAUCAUCCACCUUGAGAUAUCUAUCCAGAACAUCUCGUCGGUGUUAAGUUGCGAGCCCCACCCAAAAUGUAAAGUCAAAGCAACGGACAACUGCAUUAACGAACUAUGUGUAAGGUAAACGAUCAUUGCAACUGUGGUUACAACCACCAUUAUUUUCUCCCUGGUGGCAACAAGCACAUCCCCUAGUCUCAUGUUUCUGUCACUCAAGCUAAACAUCGAGGGGCAUGAACCCACAAUCAUGCAUAACGCUCCCUCUUGGAGUUACAAUCUACUACUUGGCAAAAGCAAUGAAUAGCAACGGAGAACAUGCAUGAAUCACUAAGGAACAUAAUAUAAAAGGAUAAUCAAAUAUAUAACUCAUAACAAUCUGAACAUAAUCUCAUAAUCCAUCGGAUCCCAACGAAUCGAGCAUAGCAAUAGCAAGAGAAUUGCAUAGAUGCCUUGAUCAUGUAGGGCAGCUCACAAGGACUAACCAUUGAAGCACAAGAUUGGAGAGAAGACAUCACAUAACUAAUGGUCAUGAACCCAUGGUCCAAGGAGGACUGCUCACGGCACGUACGGGAAGCGUCCAUGGUGGUGGAGAAGCUCCGGAGGUCAAUCCUCCCUCCGGCAGGGUGCCGGGAAGAGGUCUCCUCACGCUUCCGAUCUUGGAAGCGCUGCAGCGCGGAACGAUGGAGAAAUUCGCGAUUCGAGAAAGUCUGCAAGGGUUUCCUCUCGGGACUUUAAAUAUAGGCCGAAGGAGGGCACUGGAGGAGGUGGGACCCAUCCAAGCAGCCUCCUGGCGCGACCUAGGGCCUGGCCGCACGAGCAGGUCGCCUCGGAGGCCCCUGGCCCCUCGUGUGGCCCAUCUUCGGUGAUCCGGAAGCUUCUAUUUCACUGAUUUUCUAUAUAUUUUUUCUGGAAUUUUUCGGGCUUCGGAAAAUUGGGUAAAAGCCCGUGCAAAAUAGACAUCAGCAGACAGAAACUGGCACUAGGUGCACUGAGUUAGUAGGUUAGUCCAAAUAUGUGUAAAAUGAUAUAAAAGUAUAGCAAAACAUAUAACAAUGUCACCCAAAAUAUCAUGGAACACACAGAAAUUAUAGAUACGUUUGGGACGUAUCAACAUCCCCAAGCUUAAUUUCUGCUCGUCCUCGAGUAGAUAAAUGAUAACACAAUAAUUUCUGUGGUGACAUGCUAACACACAUAUAGGAAAUUCAAAGUAAAGCCAGUAAGAUAUGCAAUUCAAGUCAAGACAAUAACAAGCAAGAGCUUAUAUCUAGUAUUGAGUUUAGCAAAGUAAGAACAUAAAGGUGCAAGAGCUCUCGCUAUUCGUGACUCGAAUGUCUCCAAAUGGUGUUUGCGUGCAAGAAGUGGGAGAUGGGUAGAGAUCAUAAAAUAUAUUUUUAAUUGAUAACUCAAUCUACUAAACCUCACACUUAGUGUCCUUCGGAAUCUUAUUUUGACUCAUCCCCAGACCACUAGUCAGGCACAAGUCAAAAUGAUCCUCUCCCUUUCGACUUUGAGCACUCAUGCAAUGGAUGAGCGUAAGCAAGAUAUGUUGGCACUUAUGAUGGCAAAUAGAAUAAUGAUGGGGAAGGAAGACAAAAAGGUGUGAAAGGCUCACAUCAAUGAGGACAACCAUAGGCGAGAGAAAGCCAAAUGAUAGGUAUGAUGUGAGGAGAAGGGAUUGCCAUGUAACGGAUGCACAUAUGAGCUAAGGUAAGCUCUCCAAUGGAACUAGUGGGGGUGCAUACAACUUGUUUGUUGAUGAAGACCUAGAGCUCAUUUGAGCAGGCUCAUCAUUUGAAUAUGCAAACCAAGUUCUAUAGUGUAAGGGUCCCCACAUAGUUAUGCAUGAAUGAUAAUCUCUAUGUAGUACCAAUAUAGCAAUGGAGUACGAGUGUGGAUCUUUCAAAAGGAAUGGUAGUGUUGCCCCCUGAUGUCAGUUGUGCUUCCCUGGCAACGGCGCCAGGAAUAGUCGUGUCGACGGCACCAGGAAUCCUUCUACUACGGCUACGCCUUAAGGGACUUCCUAGGCAAAUAUGCAAAGGAUUUCCCCCGUGGCCUUGGAGCCUUGCGUUGGUGUUCCCUCGAAGCGGAAAGGGUGAUGUAGCACAGCGGUGGUAAGUAUUUCCCUCAGUUUGAGAACCAAGGUAUCGAUCCAGUGGAGGAGUAUCACAAGAGCCUGCACAAACACAAAGAACCUGCUCCCAACGCUAUGAAGGGGUUGCCAAUCCCUUAUAGAUUGUUUGCCAAGUGAGAACUGAAAGCAACAAAGUAACAAAUUAGAGUAAAAGCAAAAGUGGAAACGAUAGAUGUGAAUAGACCCGGCGGGCGUAGUGUUUACUAGUGGCUUCUCNNNNNNNNNNNNNNNNNNNNNNNNNNNNNNNNNNNNNNNNNNNNNNNNNNNNNNNNNNNNNNNNNNNNNNNNNNNNNNNNNNNNNNNNNNNNNNNNNNNNNNNNNNNNNNNNNNNNNNNNNNNNNNNNNNNNNNNNNNNNNNNNNNNNNNNNNNNNNNNNNNNNNNNNNNNNNNNNNNNNNNNNNNNNNNNNNNNNNNNNNNNNNNNNNNNNNNNNNNNNNNNNNNNNNNNNNNNNNNNNNNNNNNNNNNNNNNNNNNNNNNNNNNNNNNNNNNNNNNNNNCACGUCCAAAACAAGUAGACCGAUACUGUCUGCAUCUACUACUAUUACUCCACACGUCGACGCCAUCCAGCAUGCAUCUAGUGUAUUAAGUCCAAGAGAACAGAGUAACGCCUUAAGCAAAAUGACAUGAUGUAGAUGGACAAUCUCAUAUCAACGACAUAGCCCAUCUUGUUACCCUUGAUGGCAACUACUUAAUGUGUGCCUUGCUGCCCCUACUGUCAUUGGGAAAGGUCACCACAUGGUAAGAACCCAAAACCAAGCACGUCUCCCAUUGCAAGAAUCAUAGAUCUAGUUGGCCAAACAAAACCCAAGACUCGGAUAGACUUACAAGGAUAUCAAAUCAUGCAUAUAAGAAAUCAGCAAAUACUCAAAUAUAUAUCAUAGAUAAUCUGAUCACAAAUCCACAAUUCAUCGGAUCUCGACAAACACACCACCAAAGAAGAUUACAUCGGAUAGAUCUCCAUGAAGAUCAUGGAGAACUUUGUAUUGAAGAUCCAAGAUAGAGAAGAAGCCAUCUAGCUACUAACUACGGACCCGUAGGUCUGAAGUGAACUACUCACGAGUCAUUGGAGGGGCGAUGAUGAUGAUGAAGAAGCCCUCCAACUCCAAAGUCCCCUCCGGCAGGGCGCCGGGAAGGGUCUCCAGAUGAGAUCUCGCGGAAACGGAAGCUUGCGGCGGCGGAAAAGUAUUUUCGUGGCUCCCCUGAUUUUUUGUUGUAUUUUAGGGAAUAUAUAGGCCAAAGAUCUAGGUCAGGGGCGCUCAGGGAGGCCACAAGCCCUGCCACCGCCGCCUCCCCCUGGUGGCAGAGUGGGGGCUUGUGGGCUCCGUGGAGCCCUCCUGGCUUGGCCCACAGGCCCGUGAUCUUCUUCCGUCCGAGAAAAAAAUCAUUUCGGGGAUUUUAUUCCGUUUGGACUCCGUUCCAAAAUCAGAUCUGAAAAGAGCCAAAAACACAGAAAAAACAGGAACUGGCACUUGAGACCGAAUUAAUAAGUUAGUCCCAAAAAAGAUAUAAAAGGUACAUAUACCAUCCAAAGAUGACAAGAUAACAACAUGAAACCAUAAAAAAUUAUAGAUACGUUUGAGACGUAUCAAGCAUCCCCAAGCUUAACUCCUGCUCGUCCUCGAGUAGGGAAGUGAUAAAGAAUGAAUUUUUGAUGCUUUCAUGCUACCUAGCAUAGAUGUCCUUUGUAACUCCUCUUAUGUGACGUGAAUGUUCAGAUCCAUUAGAUUAAAAAAAAAUAGUUUGCUAUUGACGUGGAAACAAUUAUAAUUCAAGCAAACUAGCAAGGUAAUCACGAACUUUCAAAAUAACAAGUCCAAAAGAAAGUUAUCCCUACAAAAGCAUAUAGUCUGGCUAUGCUCUAUCAUCAUUGCACAACGAAUUUAAAUCAUGCACAACCCCGGUAUUGGCCAAGUAAUUGUUUCACACCUUUACUUUCUCAAACCUUUUCAACUCUUACGCAAUACAUGAGCGUGAGCCAUGGUUAUAACACUAUAGAUGGUGUGGAGUGUGGUGGAGGUUGCAAGACAAAAAAGGAGAAGAUAGUCACAUUAACUAGGCAUAUCAAUGAGCUGUGGAGAUGCUCAUCAAUAGAUAUCAAUGUGAAUGAGUAGGGAUUUCCAUACAAAUGAUGCACUAGAGCUACGAGUAUGUGAAAGCUCUUAGAGAAAACUAGCGGGUGUGCAUCCUACUUGCUUGCUCACGAAGACCUAAGGCAAUUUUGAGGAAGCCUAUCAUUGGAAUAUACAAGGCAAGUUACAAAAUGAAAAUUUCCCACUAGUUAUAUGGUGGUGACAAGACGAGUGACUCUCAAUCAUGAAGAUCAUGGUGCUUAAUAUGCACACGAGUGUGGAAAAAGUGGUAGCAUUGUCCCUUCUCUCUUUUUCUCUCAUUUUUUUGGUGGGCUCUUUGGCCUCUUUUUUUAAAAUUUUGGUGGGCUUCUUUGGCCUCUUUUAUUUCCUCACAUGGGACAAUGAUCCAUUAAUGAUGAGCAUCACACUUUCAACUCAAAACUUAGAGCAACUAUGACUCUAUAUGGAAUGCCUUCUGUAGUGUACCGUGGCAAUGAUCUAGCAUGGCAUAGACAUUAAUGGAAAACAUCAUGCUAGCUAUCUUACGAUCGUGCAAAGGCAAUGUAGACGUGGUGGCACAUGUCAUGGUGGUAGUUGCAUGGCAAUAUAUCUCGGGAUGACUUUGUAAAAGCCAUAGUAGGCAGGUAUGGUGGCUGUUUUGAGGGAGGCUAAUGGUGGGUUUUGUGCACCGGCGAAAGUUGCACGGCACUAAGAAGAUAGUGAUGGUGGAAGGUGAAAGUGCAUCUAAACCAUGGACUCAACAUUAGUCAUGAAGAACUCAUAUACUUGUUGCAAAAGUUUUAUUAGUAAUCGAAACAAAGCAUUCAACGCAUACUCCUAGGGGAAGGGUUGGCAGGUAUAAACCAUCGUGCGAUCCCGACCGCCACGCAAAGGAUGACAAUCAAUAGACUAAUCAUGCUCAGAUUUCAUCACAUAGCGGUUCACCAUACGUGCAUGCUACGGGAAUCACUAACUUCAACACAAGUAUUUCUAGAUCCACAACACCUUACUAGCAUGACUUCAAUAUUACCAUAACCACAACUCAAAACUAAUUGAGAUGAAUCAAACUUCUCUAACUAUUCAAUGCACAUGAAGGUGGAAGUUUUCGUAUCCCUUUGGAUAACUACCCCUUUUGAGACUACUUUCAAAGCAUAGAUCAACUACGAAGCCACGCACCGCUGUGCACUAAAAGAUAUAAGUGAAGCACACAGAGCAAAAGUAUCUAGCUCAAAAGAUAUAAGUGAAGCACAUGUGAGCUGAAUUGUCUACCAAAAGAUAUAAGUGAAGCUCGACAAAAUCACGGUGAGUGCAUGUCUCUCUCUCUAGGUGUGCAACAAGGAUGAUUGUGACACAACAAAAAUAAAAGACUCCUGCGAUACAAAACGCUCCAAGAAAAAGCACAUAACAUGUGGUGAAUAAAAAUAUAACCCCAAGUAACGUUACCGAUGGAUUGAAGACGAGAGAGGGGAUGCCUUCCCGGGGCAUCCCCAAGCUUAGGCUUUUACGACAUCCUUGAAUCUUUUGGGGUGCCUUGGGCAUCCCCAAGCUUGAGCUCUUGCCACUCUUUAUCUCUUUGUCCAUAAGAACUUCACCCAAAACUUGAAAACUUCACAACACGAAACUUAAACAGAAACUCGUGAUAACAUUAGUAUGAGAAAGCAAACCACCACUUCCUUAGUUACUGUAGCAAACUUAAAUUCUACUUACGCUGAUGUUGGGUUAUUGUAUUUUCAAUCUUCCAUGGCUAAUACCCCCCGAUACUAUCCAUAGUUUCAUCAAAAUAAGCAACCAACACAAGAAAAACAAAAUCUGUUAACAGCAGACCAGUCUGUAGCAAUCUGUAUAUUUCGUAUACCUAUGGUACUUCAAAAAUUCUGACAAAUUAGGACAGUCUGAAGAAUUUGCGUAGCAAUCAGCAACAAAAAGUAUCAACUCAAAAGCUCUUAUAGAGAAAAAUGAAAAUUAUUUUCGUGAGCAGAAAGUUUCUGUCUUUUCCAGCAUGACCAAACGAUCAUCCCCAAGACUAAUCAUAACGGUUUUGCUUGGCACAAACGCAAAAGGAAGCACAAAAAACACAAUCAUAACAGAUUAUGAAAGUGUGGAAAACACAAAACAGAAAGAAAAAGGAUAAAUUCGUUGGGUUGCCUCCCAACAAGCGCUUUCGUUUAACGCCUGUAGCUAGUCAUUGAAUGAUGCUCUCACAAAAGACAAGAAUUGAAACACAACGAGAGCAUCCUAAAGCAUGUGAAAAUCACAUCUAAGUCUAACAUACUUCCGAUGCAUAGGCAUUUUAUAGGAAAACGGAUUGUCAAGACAACCAAUAGCUGCCAUAUGCAAGGAAGAAGAAAGAGACAAUAGCAAUCUCCACAUAAUGAGAGGUAAUUGGGUAACAUGAAAGUUUCUACCAAAAUAUUUUCCUCUCUCAUAGCAAUUACAUGUGGGAUCAUAUUCAAAUUCAACAAUAUAGCUAUCCCAUAGGAUAUUCUUUUCAUGAUCCACAUGCAUGCAAAGUUGACGCUCUUCAAAGAUAGUGGGAUUAUCAUCAAUUAAAGUCAUGACUUCCCCAAUCCCACUUUCAAUAUUGUUGCAAAUAUCAUAUUCAUCAUGAGGUUCGAAUUUUUUUCAAGAUCAUAAGAAAGAUCAUCACCCCAAUCAUGAUUAUUGCAACAAGUAGUGGACAAAGCAAAACUAGCAUCCCCAAGCUUAGGGUUUUGCAUAUUUUUAGCAUGAUUGUCACUAAUAGAAUUUAUAGUGAAACCAUUGCAAUCAUGCUUUUAAUUCAAGGAGCCCUCGUGAAUCACUUCAUAAAUUUCUUCCUCACAAUUUUCAGAUUCACGCGUCUGAAGCAAAACUCCAAAAAGAUAGUCAAGUGCCCUCAACUCACUAGCAAUUCGUUCCACAUAAGUGGGUCUCUUAAAGAGAUUAGCUAGUGGAUGAGGAUCCAUAUCAAUAGUUUUUCAGCAAGAGAAGAUGCAAGCAUAAUGAAGGCACAUAGCACAGAAGCGAACAGAAAGCAAGAGAGAGAAAAGGGCGAACAAAAAAGGCAAAGGAGAAAGGCAAAUGAAAACGGCAAAUGUGACGUGGGGGAGAGGAAAUCGAGAGGCAACUGGCAACAAAAGUAAAUGCAAGAGAUGAGUUUGUGAGACCUACUUGGAUAGAUCUUGAUCUCUCCUCCCCGACAACGGCGCCAGAAAUACUUCUGAUGUCAGCUGUGCUUCCCUGGCAACGGCGCCAGGAAUAGUCGUGUCGAGGGCACCAGGAAUCCUUCUGCUACGGCUACGCCUUAAGGGACUUCCUAGGCAAAUAUGCAAAGGAUUUCCCCCAUGGCCUUGGAGCCUUGCAUUGGUGUUCCCUCGAAGCGGAAAGGGUGAUGUAGCACAGCGGUGGUAAGUAUUUCCCUCAGUUUGAGAACCAAGGUAUCGAUCCAGUGGAGGAGUAUCACAAGAGCCUGCACAAACACAAAGAACCUGCUCCCAACGCUAUGAAGGGGUUGUCAGUCCCUUAUAGAUUGUUUGCCAAGUGAGAACUGAAAGCAACAAAGUAACAAAUUAGAGUAAAAGCAAAAGUGGAAAUGAUAGAUGUGAAUAGACCCGGGGGCCGUAGUUUUUACUAGUGGCUUCUCUNNNNNNNNNNNNNNNNNNNNNNNNNNNNNNNNNNNNNNNNNNNNNNNNNNNNNNNNNNNNNNNNNNNNNNNNNNNNNNNNNNNNNNNNNNNNNNNNNNNNNNNNNNNNNNNNNNNNNNNNNNNNNNNNNNNNNNNNNNNNNNNNNNNNNNNNNNNNNNNNNNNNNNNNNNNNNNNNNNNNNNNNNNNNNNNNNNNNNNNNNNNNNNNNNNNNNNNNNNNNNNNNNNNNNNNNNNNNNNNNNNNNNNNNNNNCACGUCCAAAACAAGUAGUCCGAUACUGUUUGCAUCUACUACUAUUACUCCACACGUCGACCGCUAUCCAACAUGCAUCUAGUGUAUUAAGUCCAAGAGAACAGAGUAACGCCUUAAGCAAAAUGACAUGAUGUAGAUGGACAAUCUCAUAUCAACGACAUAGCCCAUCUUGUUACCCUUGAUGGCAACUACUUAAUGUGUGCCUUGCUGCCCCUACUGUCACUGGGAAAGGUCACCACAUGGUAAGAACCCAAAACCAAGCACGUCUCCCAUUGCAAGAAUCAUAGAUCUAGUUGGCCAAAAAAAACCAAUACUCGGAGAGACUUACAAGGAUAUCAAAUCAUGCAUAUAAGAAAUCAGCAAAGACUCAAAUAUGUAUCAUAGAUAAUAUGAUCACAAAUCCACAAUUCAUCGGAUCUCGACAAACACACCGCCAAAGAAGAUUACAUCGGAUAGAUCUCCAUGAAGAUCAUGGAGAACUUUGUAUUGAAGAUCCAAGAUAGAGAAGAAGCCAUCUAACUACUAACUGCGGACCCGUAGGUCUGAAGUGAAGUUCUCACGAUUCAUAGGAGGGGCGAUGAUGAUGAUGAAGAAGCCCUCCAACUCCAAAGUCCCCUCCGGCAGGGCGCCGAGAAGGGUCUCCAGAUGAGAUCUCGCGGAAACGGAAGCUUGCGGCGGCUGAAAAGUAUUUUAGUGGCUCCCCUGAUUUUUUGCUGUAUUUUAGGGAAUAUAUAGGCCAAAGAUAUAGGUCAGGGGGCGCUCUGGGAGGCCACAAGCCCUGCCAUCGCCGCCUCCCCUGGUGGCGGAGUGGGGGCUUGUGGGCUCCCUGGAGCCCUCCUGGCUUGGCCCACAGGCACCCUGAUCUUCUUCCGUUCGGGAAAAAAAUCAUUUCGGGGAUUUUAUUCCGUUUGGACUCCCUUCCAAAAUCAGAUCUGAAAAGAGCCAAAAACACAGAAAAAACAGGAACUGGCACUUGGCAUUGAAUUAAUAAGUUAGUCCCAAAAAAGAUAUAAAAGGUACAUAAAACAUCCAAAGAUGACAAGAUAACAGCAUGAAACCAUCAAAAAUUAUAGAUACGUUUGAGACGUAUCACCCCCUUCUCUCUUUUUAUUUCUUUAUUUCUUUUUGUUUUUCUCUUUUCUCUUUUUAUUUUUUUGUGGCCUCUUUGGCUCUUUCUUUUUAUCUCUCAGUUGUCCUCUUCGGGAUCUUUUGUUUGUCCUCUUUGGGAUCUUUUCCUCACUUAAGGGCAACACUCUAUGUUUUACAUGAAUAAAAAGAAAAAUCAUCACACUUUAUAAGAAGUACUCAACAUAAAGACAAGUGAAAACUAUCAUGAUGUAUGCAAAUGUAUGCCUCUACCAGUGUAGCAGGAUAUGCAAUGAUACUAGCGCAUCAUGUAGCAGUAAUACGGGCAAGGCCCAACUAGUAUGCGACUCUACAAUCAAGCAAAAGCAUGUAUGACAUGAAGAUCAAGUCAUGAGAUGGUGGAUGUUGCAUGGCAAUGUAUCUCGGAAAGGCUAUGGAAAUGCCUUAGUAGGUAGGUAUGGUGGAUGUUUUGAGGAAAGAUAUAAUGAGGCUUAUGUAUGACACAGCGUAUCAUGUCAUGGGUUUGGAUGCACCAGCGGAGUUUGCACCAACUCUCAAUGUGAGAAAGGGCAAUGCACGGUACCGAAGAGGCUAGCAAAAUAUGGAUGGUGGAAGUGCCAACAAUCAAUACUCACAUUUAGUCCGAAGAACUCAUACACUUAUUAUCGGUAACUCUCUAUUUAGUUAGGACAUUCCAAAAGAGACAAGUACCCCGAGGAGGAGUGUUUGGGGGUUUGGUUAUCCUUGCAAAUCCUCGACUCAUGGUAAUGUGAGGGUACUCUACAUAUUCCAACCCCUCCAGAGGUUAGCGGUCAAUUUAGUAGCUAGAGUUCUCAACUAAUUUUAGUUUCUGAAAAUCACACAGAUUUCCCAAAAUACGACACCUAUCACUAAUAGGCUCAAGCUCUUGGCACCAAUAGUCCAAACAUUACUCAAAUCAAUACCUCAAAACUAUUGGAAGUUACUACUAUACUUAAAUAGCAACCUCAAUUACCUACUCAUGCAAGACAUACAACUCAGUGCAACGAGCCAACUCUCUAAACAAGAUAAGCAUGAUAAGUCAAGAGAGUUCCAGAAGCAACCUAAAUAAUAGCUCCUAAAAAUAUAAGCAUGAAAACUAAGAGCUAAACAUAACAGUAGCUACGAAGAAAUGAAGAACACAUAAAAGGGAUAAGCAUGAAAACCUAUGUUGUGUUCUAGAGUGGAAUGGAGCGUGUCUCUCUACCAAACAAGGUAGGCUAGGUUCCGACUUGUUAUGAACAAAAAGCAAAACUAAAACAAAUUAAAAAGUAAAGAGCGGGACGAUUCAAGCAUAGCACAUAUCAUAUGAAGUGAUAAAAAUAUAGCAUGGAGAUGGACGACUGAUGAUUGUUGAUAGAGAAGGGGAUGCACGGGGGCAUCCCCAAGCUUAGACGCUUGAGUAUCCUUUGAAUUUUCCAGCACAUUGGGAUCCUAAGCUUNNNNNNNNNNNNNNNNNNNNNNNNNNNNNNNNNNNNNNNNNNNNNNNNNNNNNNNNNNNNNNNNNNNNNNNNNNNNNNNNNNNNNNNNNNNNNNNNNNNNUUUGAGAUACCCAUUACACUCGGAGAGGAAGGAGAUAUGCUCCUCCCUGAGAAUUUUCUAGAUUAUGACAGCAUGGUUCGCCAUGAUUUUCUGGAUAGAGAUGCUAGUAGGCGGAUGAUUUAUAACCUGGUAUUUAGUCAGGGUACUCGAGAGACUUUUACUUUGCCUUCUCCUUCUUUGUUCGAUCUUCACGCAGGCAGGUAAACUAUUAUGCCCUCGGACAUCUACGCAUAUUGGGGCUUGGCCCAACCACAGGUGCAUGUGCCCGAGCCGCCAGUCGAGUAUCAUACUCCAAUUUAUCAGUGGGAGCCAAAGGAACUCACACAGCAAUGGCAUCCACAGUCUGCUCCGGAGUAUCCCGGAGCUGGUUAUUUCCCGCCUUGGGAGUAGACCAAACUAGGCCAAAAGCCUAAGCUUGGAGAAGUACGUGUUCUCACCGACUUCACAUUCAUGCUUAUGCUUUCGCUUUGUUAGCCGGUGUUUACACUUUGCCACUGUAUUAUCCAUGCUAGUUUAUUUUCAUUUUCUUGUUUUGUGUNNNNNNNNNNNNNNNNNNNNNNNNNNNNNNNNNNNNNNNNNNNNNNNNNNNNNNNNNNNNNNNNNNNNNNNNNNNNNNNNNNNNNNNNNNNNNNNNNNNNNNNNNNNNNNNNNNNNNNNNNNNNNNNNNNNNNNNNNNNNNNNNNNNNNNNNNNNNNCUUGUUUUGUGUCCUUUUGAGAAAAUCCAAAAAGAUUUUUCUUUCUUCUUUUUCUUGUUGGGAGCUUUCGCAUGUAAAUAGUUUUCUUUUUCUUUGGGUCAAGGUAGAAGAUAUUGGUUACAAUGUUUAGUGGUUCUUGCAUGCAUACCUGUUUAGCUUUCAAAGAGACAUAUUACUUUGUCUUCACCUUUGUGUUUGCCUGCAGAUUUAGCUUAGUCCAAUGCAAAAGCACUCUUAUUAUUGUUCACGUCGUUCGAUCGUGCAAGUGGAAGGCAAUAAUGACGAUAUAUGAUGAAGUGACUGAGACUGAAAAGAUGGUAUGAACUCUAUCUAUUUUGUUUUUGUAAAUAUGACUAGCUUGUCAACCCAGAUUCAGCUUUGUUGUGAGAGAACCAUGUUUGCAAUGACAACUUAGAGAUCAUAGUUUCUGAUGCCAUGCUUAAUUAGCUAGGAUCUUGUAAUGGUUUGUCUUGAAUGCCAACAUAGAUUUUGAGAUGACUAUGAUGUAGUAUGAUAGGAUUGUAUUCUCCUUUGAAUCAUUCAAGUGGCUUGACUUGGCGCAAGUUCAUGCAUGUAGUUGAAACAAAAUCAACAUAGCCUCUAUGAUGUUCGUGUUCAUGGUGAUUUGUAUCCUGUUCAUGCUUGCAUUCAAUGUUAGCCAAACUCAUUGCAUCUUGAUGACUGUUGUCGCUCUCUAGUUGGUCGCUUCCCAGUCUUUUGCUAGCCUUCACUUGUACUAAGCGGAAUACUGCUUGUGCAUCCACUUCCAUAAACCCAAAAGUUUUCCCAUGACAGUCCACCAUACCUACCUAUUUGCGGUAUCUACUUGCCGUUCCAAGUAAAUUUGCAUGUGCCACUCUCUAAACCUUCAAGAAAUAAUCUGUUUUGGAUGCCCGAACCGCUCAUGUGGUGACAGGGGGCUAAUGGUAUCUUCCAUGUUAGGAGUGUUAUCCUCGACAUGUGUUUAUUCACUGUCAUUCACGAGAAAGGGGCCGGUAAUUGGAAUGCCCAGUUCCACGCUUAAAUCGAAAACAGAACUGUAAAACAAGACCCCCCGGAUUGGUGUUAGUAUGGACGGUACCCGAGGAUUCGGCUAGCCGUGGUGUGUGAUCGAUUGGUGGUGGGGGAGUUAAAGCUUUACUUUUAUGUUUGGGACUACCUAUAGCAUGAGUAGCAUGGAAGAUAUUGAGAACUCUUGGUCAUUGCGUUGACAAUGAAAGCAUGCCACCCAAAAUUAUUAUCUCUGUUUUCAAAACUUGAGCUCUGGCACCUCUGCAAAUCAAUGCUUCCCUCUGCGAAGGGCCUCUGUAUUUAUUUUUCCUGUCGAGUCAUCCUCCUCUUAUAUAAGCACCAAUUAGAGAGCACCUCUGUCAGUUUUAUGCUUUUCUUUUGAUUGAUAUUGAGUAUGACUAUGACUGGAUCUUCUUUGCUAUGAAUUACAAUGUUUAGUCAGCCCUUGAUCUUUNNNNNNNNNNNNNNNNNNNNNNNNNNNNNNNNNNNNNNNNNNNNNNNNNNNNNNNNNNNNNNNNNNNNNNNNNNNNNNNNNNNNNNNNNNNNNNNNNNNNNNNNNNNNNNNNNNNNNNNNNNNNNNNNNNNNNNNNNNNNNNNNNNNNNNNNNNNNNNNNNNNNNNNNNNNNNNNNNNNNNNNNNNNNNNNNNNNNNNNNAUGUUUUGCGGUCUCAGAAAGAGCUAGCGAGAUACCACCUAUUCAUAUUGCUUCAUGCUUGUUUUGACUAGAGUGUUGGUAUUUGAAACUCAUUAUUAUUUGCUCGUUAGCUGAUUAUGCCAUUGAUAUUAGUUUACCGUGAGACCUUUGUGUCACUUGCUUAUGUGGUUAACUUGUGAUCUUGCUGAAAUUCUGGUUAUGAGUUAGACAUAGUUGCAACAACAAGAUCAAACAAAGUUUAUCAAAGUUUUUCUUUCUCUCUCAGUUUGUCAACUGAGUUUCUUGAGGACAUACAACGUUUUAAGCUUAGGGGAGUUGAUACGUCUCCAUCGUAUCUACUUUUCCAAACUCUUUUGCCCUUGUUUUGGACUCUAAUUUGCAUGAUUUGAAUGGAACUAACCUGGACUGACGCUGUUUUUAGUAGAAUUGCCUUGGUGUUGUUUUUGUGCAGAAAUCAAAGUUCUCAGAACGUCCUGAAAAUUUACGGCGAAUAUUUUUGGAAAAUAUGAAAAAUACCUGUGCAAAGAUCCACACGAGGGGGUGGGCAAGUGGUCCACAAGCCCUAUAGCCGCCACCCCCUGGUGGCGGAUGGAAAGCUUGUGGGGCCCACGUGGCUCUGCCGCCCCCAAUCUCAGCUCUAUAAGUUCACUUUCGUCCCAGAAAAAACAAGGAGAGAAGAUUUUGCCGCGUUUGCGACACGAAGGCGCCGCCACAACUUGUUCUUCAUCUGGAGGGCAGAUCUGGAGUCCGUUUUGGGCUCCGGAGAGGGGAAAUCGUCGCCAUCGUCAUCAUCAACCUUCUUCCCUCUCCAAUUCCAUGAAGCUCUUCGUCGUUCGUGAGUAAUCUAUUCGUAGGCUCGCUGGGCGGUGUUGAGUAGGAUGACAUCUAUCAUUUAAUCGAGUUAGUUUUGACGGGGAUUGAUCCCUAGUAUCCACUAUGUUGUGAGAUUGAUGUUGCUACUACUUUGCCAUGCUUAAUGCUUGUCACUAGGGGUGACAAUAACCGAAACCACUCCCGGUGAUGACCAUAGUUUGAGGAGUUCAUGUGUUCACAAAGUGCUAAUGAAUUGGUCCGGUUCUUUAUUAAAAGGAGAACCUUAAUAUCCCGUAGUUUCCUUUUGGACCCCGCUGCCACGGGAGGGGUGGACAAUAGAUGUCAUGCAAGUUCUUUUCCCUAAGCAUGUAUGACGACACACGGAAUGCAUGCCUACAUGACAUUGACGAACGGGAGCUAGCUACAUAUCUCUCCGUGUUAUACUAUUGCAUGAUGAAUAUCAUCCAAACAAAUCACCGACCCAUUGCUUACGAGUUUGUCAUACUACUUUGAUGUUACUACUUUGCUUGCAGAUACUAAUCUUUCAGGUGUGAUUGAAUCUGAUAAAUUCAGCUGCUAAUACUCGAGAGUAUUCUCUCACCUCCUCUUUGGCGAUCAACAAAUUUGGGCCAAAUACUCUACCCUCGAAAACUGCUGCGAUCCCACGCGCUGGUGGGCCGUCAACAACAUUCUUCUAGUUUCGAUUGCCGGAGAGGGCUAGCAGCAUUCUCCUGGUGCCGUUGCAGGGGAAGGUCUGCUGUCACGGAAUCAGGGGAAUAGCAACGGUGAGUACUCAUCCAAAGUACUCGCAAGACUGACAUCAGAACUAUGCUAAGUAUGCAUCAGUAUCAAAGGAAGGGGUUAUAUGUGGACUGACUACAGCAAUGCGAAAUAGAGAGAGAAGGCCUAAUCCUAUCGGAGACUAGCAUCUUCACGGGUCUUGCAGCAAUAGACGAUAGUACAAAAGGUAACACCAAUAAUCAUAUUGUUCCAGCAAUAUUAAUAUUAGGUCACGCCCCGAGAUUCUCCCUCGAAUCCCUGCGAGGAAGCAAUCCCGGAACAAACAUUCCAGUUAAGUAAGAGUUGUAGUUGUAUAAGAUCAGGGUACAACUCCAAGUCGUCAUGUAACCGUGGACACGGCUAUCCGAAUAGUUAAUUUUCAUCCCUGCACGGGUGCACCACGUUUCCCGUCACGCUCGGUAACACUCUGGUCGAACACACUUUUCAGGAUCAUACCCGGCCUCGAAAUAUCGACAUGUCGCAGCCCCACCUAAGCUCAACAGAGAGGCCAGCCCACCGGUCUAAAUCCUAAGGACAAAGAGGUCGUGGGCCCACUUGCCCUCUGCGCUCCGGCACGAUGCAAGGGAGUCCGAUGUCAGUCCUAGCACCCCUUAAUACCAGCUCUAUGCAUCUCAGGACCACUCGGGCGCACCGCUCCAUUGGUAACGUCUGAAGAGCUUCAGUUGAUACCACGGCGCGGAGUACCCAUAACUUCUCCCGCAUAGCCGGUUAGUGCGAAAAGUUCUCCGACCAAACCAGAUCAAAUACCCAAAUCCAUUAACAUUUUAAUUAACUCAGCGACACAUCAACACGGGAAUCCACCCGCCUAACAUUUAUCCAUCAAAGCUCUGAGUAACAAGGUCAAGUAACUGUGUGGUUGUAACAUCAGGGGGUCCGAGGUAUCACCCUCGUUGGAUCCCGAACGAUGUAUCCGUCAAGUUGGACUUAGAGGAAUCACCCUCGAGGGUCUCACACUUGAGGGGUUGCACGACAAAGUCAUCUCCGAGAGUUGUGAAGGAGGAAUCACCCUCGAUAAUCACGACCGACUAGCUACACUGCAGAGGUAGCAUCAUGAGUACUUCGCGAGGUGUCACCCUUAGUACCCGAUAGUAGCUCUGCAGCGUCGUACACUUAUGGGGUGUGAGUGCUGUGUCGGAUCUUGGCUCGUCGAUCAGGGAUCAAGACUCGACAAUAAAGCGGGGCAACUGGACUAAGGGGGGCAGAGGGUAUGACUGCUCCACCUAUACUAAACAGUUAAAAGUGCGAUACUAAAAGUAGCAGUUCAUAAAAAUUAGGCUAUGCAUCAGAUAUAGGGACUAAUUACAAUAGUAGCAAAAUUCUAAGGCAAGCAUGGAGGAGAAAGAUAUGGGCGAUAUAGGAAUGACCAAGGGGGUUUCGCUUGCCUUGUUGCUCUACGGAAAAGGGUUGGUCAUCGGGAGGGUAGAUGUAACCGGAGCAGCGUCAGUCUCGGGGUUUACCCGUCAAAAGAGGGGGGAAGAAACAAUAAAUAUAUACACGGAUGAAACACUAUGCAUGACAUGGCAAUAUGCAGGUCUAGGCAUGAGCUAACGCAGUGCUAUUCGUCAUACAUGGGUCGGGAAAAAUAUCGGAUGAUAUUUCCCGGGUAUCUGGCUACUACCGUUCAGAUGAAAACGAUGGAAAAGUUCCACAUUUGCUAUGCUAGAAACGCGUGACAAACGAAAGGACCGCAUAUCCAGGUUCGUCUCGUUCUGUUGAUCAACUUUCAUGUUGAAAAUAUUUUCAUCUGAGCUACAGUUUAUUUUAUAUUAAUUUCCAAAGUUUUAUUAAUAUUCUGGAAUUAAAAUAGAUUUAAUUAAUUCAAUUAAAUGCAAUUAUGACAUGAGCAUGAUGCCAUGCUGACAUCAGCACUCAACAGAGUUUGACAGGUCAAACUGACCGGUGGGUCCCAUUCGUCAUAGGCACAAUUUAAAUGUUUAGAUUAACUAUUAAUUUAUCAUAUUAAAUCGUGGGGGACCCACGUGUCAUAAUCUGUUAGGAUAAUCUAAAUAUCUAAUUAACAAAUAACUAACUAGUCUAAUUAAUCCUUAAUUAUCUAUUUAAUAAACUAACUGAUUAUUUAAUUAAUAUAACUAAUUAUUUAUUUAUUUAUUUAUUUAUUUUAACACUUUUAGAGGGGGGUUCGUGUGCCCCCUCUGUCAUUCGCACACAAAAAAGGGUUAGUGGGGGGAGGUUAAUCCCCCCACUAACCAGCUUGGUUGGGGUGACGAGGGCGAGGGCGUGCCGGGCACACGACGCCAGCGACCAGGGUCGGUGGGAGGGGGCGAGAUCCCGGUGGCCAAAUGGGCAGGAGCUCGCGUGGCGGUCGGCGGUGGAAAACACGGCGAGGCAAGGCACGGCCGGUGGCGCGGCGAACGCGGGCAUGCGCGAUCGGGAGCGGUGGUGGUCGCCGGAGCCAGAGGGGGAAAGAGAGGUGGAGGGGCUCACUGCCGAUGUAGGGGAGUGGCAAACUGCUCGGGGACGAGGCGGGGGAAUAACUUCGAUGGGGACGCGGCGCGGUGGUGGCGGGUGGACUGGAGAGGAGGGAGCCGGUGACCGUCGGGGCAGCGCGGGGCGGCGUCGGGGUGGAUCCGGUGGCGGAGGGAGUCGGGGGUAGGGGCGUGUCGGCGUAGUGGGAGAGGCCUCGGGGUGACGAGGGAACGGAGAGCGGGCCUGGCUCGCGCGGGGGGUUGACGAGGGGAGGAACUAGGGGCGGUUCGAGCGAGGGGCGAGAGGUGGAGCAAGGCGUGGGCGGCUCGGUGGGGAUCGAGCUAGGGGAGGAGCCCCUCAUGGCUCCCUCGCGGGGGGUGUGGGAGGAAGUGGGGACUGGGGAGAGGAGAGGCAACGCUAGGGUUAGGACGGGUAGAUAUACCCAGGGUGGCUGGGACGGUUUGGCGUGUUAGGCCAGUUGUGGCCGGCUGGGCCGGUUGGGCCGACCGAGCAUGGUUUUCUUAUUUUCUGUUUUUUUGUUUUUAUUUUACAGGUUUUGUUUUAUUUCUUUCUAACAUUAAUUCCAUUUAGUAUAAAUGUGUGGCUUGGUCAAAUAAACAUAAUGCAUUAUUUUAUAUGGCCACAAAUAAUUUGGGGAUUUCUAGAAGUUCUUGGGAUUUUAAAUUUGAAUUAAAUCCCCUUUUAAAUUGCUAUAAGGCUCUCUUUUUUAAGGUGGGGUCCACACCAUUAACUUGGUGAUGUUGUUUUCCUUAACAAUAUUUGUUUUGGUUUAUUCCACAAUGAUGCAACAUUUUUCUUAUUACGAUUGAGCAAGUAUUUUAUCUCAACAAAAAUCCAAAGCCCUCUUAUAAUCGAAUUCGAAAUGAGAUAUGAAUUUCAACUUGAUCAUUGCUUUCUUAGCAAAAUAAUUAGGCACUGAUCAUGGUCAUUACUAUAGCUUAAUUACAAUGCUUACUAUAGCAAAAGUUGAGGAUGUCACAACUCUCCCCUACUAAUAAGAAUUCUUGUCCCGAGAAUUAAGAGGUAGUAGGAAAGAGCUCAGGGUAUUCAUCACGAAGAUGAUCCUCGCGUUCCCAAGUGGCUUCAUCUUCAGAAUGAUUUGACCACUGCACUUUAAGGUACUUGGUGACUUUGCGACGAGUCUGGCAUUCAAUCUGAUCGAGAAUGCGAACCGGAUGCUCUUUAUACAAGAGGUCUUGUUGCAGCUCAAGCAUAUCAUGAUCCACUGCUCGAAUAGGAUCCUUGAAGCAACGGCGGAGCUAAGACACAUGGAAGACAUCGUGAACCUGAGAAAGGUUCGUCGGUAGUUCCAAUUCUUAAGCUACUUUUCCACGCCUUUCGAGAACAGUGAAAGGACUAAUAUAGCAAGGAGCUAACUUGCCCUUGAUCUCAAAACUGUGUGCGCCUCUCAUUGGUGUGACAUGAAGAUAAGCUUUUUCGCCGGGUUGAUAAACCAUAUCUUGAAGAUGACAGUCAUACUGACUCUUCUAACGAGACUGGGCAUCCUUCAGAUUCUCAAGAAUAAUGCGGAUUUGAUCUUUAGCAUGCUGGGUAACAUAUGGACCUAAGAGUGAUCGGUCCAUUGAACGGUGGCUCUGGAACUCCGUACGAAGCCAGGUGUAAAGGGUACCUUGUAUUCAAACAUGUACAGGAGAGUCAGGUUUCAAUCCUGUGGAACUUUGGGUUAUGGGUCCACCAUGUGGGCUGAGAAUAGGCAGAGGGGUGACAUCUUGUACGGUAUUGGUAGCAAGACCUGUUAGAAGAUAACAUUCAGUUAUGUUAGAAACAACAUCGGUACCAAGGGCAGGGGACGAAUAGAACCAUUUUUCCUGCUCGUUGAAACGAGGCGGACCAAUAGGUAAGGCUCUCAUCCACCGGCGGCUACCGUUAUGUUAUCCACAAUAGUAACAGGGUUUUACUGACAGAGUUGUAUGCCGAGAUUUCCACCUAAGCAUAGAAUUAACACGGCUUAGAUAAGUUAUGCCAUAAGAAAGGUCAAACAGACCAAUGGGAAGGAAAAUGUGUUCACACACACAAGUAUUUAAAAUAUACCAUUCCUGAGGAAAACAUAGAGUAUGGUAUACAUGAUAGGUCAUCAAGUACAUAACCAUUUUGAUAAAGCAGUGAGAAGAAUCGUGAUGUUUACCCAUACCAUGCGGUCUGGAUAAUCGAUCAGGAACAAUUUAGCAUUGCGCUUCCAAUGUUCCUGUUGACAAUUGAAGUACCACAUUCGUGCAUUCGAGGUAGCAUCGACGUGGUCAUCAGAUAAAGGUUGGACUUUGGGUACACAAAGGAUUCAUCAAAAACAACUUAUAAAAUAAGCCAUAUAGUUCCCGCAUGGAAGAUGGUGAAUCUUAUAUAUGGAAAAAUUUAAAAGAAUAGGUCCUUCGGCACGUCGUGCUAGAAAAGACAUCACCGUACCGGGUUACAUAAGACCAAAGUCAUAACUAUUGGAAAAUGUUCCAACCAUCAUAUCUGCCCGAGAUUCAGAUCUGAUUGGUGUCAAGAUACCUUAGACUCGCGAUGGCUGAGAAGAAAAGGGGGCAACAAAAUCGACAAGAUGGUGAUGCAAGAUCCCCGGGAUAUGAACUACACAUGCAAUCCUUGGAUCACGAGUUAUAUUGUAAGACACAUGACCGCCAUGACAACACAUUCGUGCCCACGUGGAAUUCUUUCAACGAAAUGCAAGUGAGAUGUGAUUUGAGAACCAUCAUUGAGGAUAUCAAGGCCCUUGUGUGAGCCUCGAUUAGUUCUUAGGAAGGAACUUAUUUUCCUUGCAAACCAGUCAGUGUCUCGGGGUGCUAAGAGAAGUUAUAUGAAGUGAAGAUAGCAAAUCUUCAAAACAUAUAACACUUCGCACAUGCGUGUAUGAUUUGGUAUUUCCCAAGAGGAAGCGAAACAAAAUUUUCACAUAUUCAUGGCGGCAAGAAUGCACGUGAACCUUGGGAAGACACUUCUUCUUAUCAAUAUAUUCUUCAUGAGCUAGAAACAAAAAUAGUGCUUUCAGAAGCUUCAUCAUGAACCAUGGAGAAGUUGAGGGUGUGGCUGGUGGGCUCAGCAACAAUCCCUCAAAAUUUUGAUGGGAAUGAAUUUCCAGAAUUAUAAGAACAAGGAGAUAGCAUUUGUCGGAUCAAACGAUAUGAUGACGUAUGCUCGAGGGAACAUCAACAAUUAAACAUUGGUCGAAGGGUGCACUCGAAAAUACGGAAUGAGUAGUACGACCAUUGCUAGAAUGGUGAGUCAACAACCAACACACCAAGAAUGAAACAAACAGUUGUUAACCUCAAGGCAAUAGGGUUGCCAGAAGUAUUGGAAUUAGACCUCAAAGUCCACUUGUCGGUAUUCCGGUUAGAAACAACACAGGGACCAAGAAUGAACGGUGAUGGAGAGAAGUAUCACUAUAUCAAGAAUUCUUAAGAGGUGCACUGAUGCUCACAACAUUCUUGACAUAAAUAUGGUAAUACUCCAAGGUAGAAGAUAACAUAAGAUGGAUAGCGAGGAACUCAAGGGACAACACAAUACAUGAACAGAUUUGUGUUGGAGGGAAGGCAAUAAGGUUUGUUAAUGAUAACUAAAAUCAUCGAGGGGAAAUGAUGGUAUUUCUCAUCAUGCAUUCUAUUGAUACCCUGAAGAAGCUGAGAAUGCUGAUUAUGAUCACCACACAUUUGUCAAGAAGUUUCAUGAAGGUAUAAUUGCUUAGCGACGACAUCAAGUAAAGGAAUAAUGGAGAGAAAGGUUGUCGGAACCGCAGAUAAAACUGCUAGCUCUGAAUCGAGAUUACCUUUCAAGACAACCAACAUGAUAUUGAAUGCUCGAUGUAAGCUUAACGCACCAUUGGAAAUAUGUUCCAGGGAUGGAGGACAUAGAUAGCAUGGUCAAGAUCUAGCAUGAUGAUGAUGAUGCAGCCUAAUGUCUUGAAAUGACAAGAUCGAGCACAAACUCAUAAGCAAAGAAGAUUAUUAAGAGUUGUGGAAUCGCAAAGCAUACUCGAUUCAGUUAUCGGUGUCCUUGAGUGUCCAACAACUUAGAACACAAGGAAAACCGGAAUUAAUGAAAAUAUCAUAGUUGAUGAGGAGCUCAGAAUAAGUUAUAUAGCUUUGUGAUAUUUUCGAGAUAACAGGGAUAAUACUCAGAGGUAGAUCAGAGUAGAAGUUAGACUAAUGUAUUGAUCUCUGGAAGACAAGCACUUAAACUUGCCUACAUAUGAUAUCAAAGGAGAACAAUCAUGGUCGGAACCACGGUUCCAAAGUACCACACCACAGAUACCAGAUCAAAACAUAUAAUGGAUGAUUAUUGAUACGAGAAGUUUCUAUGAUAGGAUCAACGUCAUUUCCAUGGGCGUGAACACAAAGUUCAAGAUCAACUCCCACUUCAUCAAUGCAUCACCUGCCAUUUACUCCUCGCCUUUGAUGAGGUUGCAGUUUGGAAAGAUUAUCGGCAAAACACCAGAAGAGUAAGACUCGUGAAAACUAUUCGGGUCAUAUAGAUUUAGGAAGGCAUAGGUUCAACCCAUCGGGAAUCUUAGGAACAUAUACCACAAACUUCAAGAGUAAUCGAAACAUGGUUCACAACAGAGCAUGACCUGACAAAAGCAUAGGAUAUAAUUUAUCAAAGGGAGAAGGCA
Molecule: long non-coding RNA, 52158 nt
Filed under: Hordeum vulgare
Lineage: Eukaryota; Viridiplantae; Streptophyta; Magnoliopsida; Poales; Poaceae
Description: long non-coding RNA (HVUL_LNC019433)
Source: RNAcentral